This 67160-nucleotide long non-coding RNA is filed under the name Eutrema salsugineum. RNAcentral's name for it is "long non-coding RNA (ESAL_LNC001889)". The record is from RNAcentral. Lineage: Eukaryota; Viridiplantae; Streptophyta; Magnoliopsida; Brassicales; Brassicaceae.
CUCAUCCUCAUCUUUCACAGAGAGAGAGUUUUUUCUCAAAUUUUGCGUUAAGUUUCCAAUUAAUAUCGGAUUGAAUUUCCGGUUCAUCUAGAGCUAAUAAAUUCCGGCGAGUCCGGAUUUCUCUUUGGCUUAGUCCGAUUAACUUUGUUUUUUGGUGUGUUAAUAAUCUUCCGAUUAACGGAUUCCUUUUGCUAGAGAUGUAUGUUUUCAGAUCCUUUUUCUUGUGUGAGUUUAAUCCUUCGCUAAUCCUUAGUUGAGUGAAGGAUUUUAUCAAGUUGGAGGAUUUAUUGAUCUUUUCAAGGUUUAAAGCAGAAGGUUUUUCGUUUUCGGAUCUCUAAUCUUCUUCUCUUUCUCCGGCGACUUAAAGUUGAUAUUGGAUCUAUUCUCUUUAAUCGUUAUGCUCGAUCUCUCUGUUUGGGGAGAAAUAAAUAUCUACCUCAAAGGUUAAGGCAGAGUUUCUCUUACAAAAUUAAGAUUCAUGUGUCGACUAACUUAUAGAUUUGGUUAAGGCAAUCUUGCUGUCAAAUCAUAUAAGUUUCUCGUUGGUUUAUCUCGGCGAUUUGGGGAAGAUUCAUCCAUUAUAUCUGGCGAAAUCUUAAGAGGAAGAUGUUGCAGUGGUGCAAUUUAGUGUUUAAGGAAUCGAAGUUCGCGGCAGCUGUCGGUGGUGUAGGAGAUCGGAAGUCUAUCGGAGUUUUCUUGAUGAGGGCAUACAACUACAAGCACCACCUAUACCAGCCGUGAGACAAGGACCAAAAACAAGGUCAGGAACUAGAUUCUUGCGUGAAGAGUUUAAUCAAGCCAUUGAAGCUUUAGUUAGCAUCCACAAGCACGAAGACUCUUUGUACCCAAGCUUUAAGGCCACAAUCCAAUAAAGGAGCCCGGAAGAGCCUAAUGAAGAAGAAGCCUAUCAUAUACAAGACGGCCCAAGAACUGAAUUGCCACUUCUCCGACCCAACAAGGAAGUGUCCCUAUUCAGCGUCAGCAUCACGCUAACUUAAGACCAUCCUAGCCGUCCAAUCUACCAAGGUAAGCUAAUGAAUACAAUAUCUACUUGCCUAACUUGGUUUUCUGUCUUUGGUUUGUUUUACAGGUUCUAUUCAUAGUUUUAAGUUUUAUAAUAUCUCUCUAGUUAUUGCACGAGUCUAUACUUGCUUCUUUAGAGUCCCAGAAUUUGUGUCAUUUAUUGUAUUUGUUUCAAGUCCCCAAGAAGGGCAAAGCUGCAUCAGACUCUCUUAUAAAGUCCCAUAUAAGCAGCCGUGUAUUUUUUACCUAAUAUCAAUAAAGAACGCACUUAUUCAAGCAAAGUCUUGUCCAUUGAAUUCAUUGAUUUCGUCCAGAGUUGGUGUUUGAUUCUUCUCUUAAGAGCUGGUGUUUGAUCCAUCUCUUGCCGGUCUUAUCAAAGCUCAUUCCAUAGAUCUUUGUGGCGACCAUCAUUCCACUGUGUGAAACACUUCCAUCCCAUCCCUUGACUUAAUCAGAGAGAGUUACAUAACCAGCUGAUCGAGUCCCAUCCACUUUCACUUUGAAUCCAUUUAUUAUCCUUGUUGAGAGAGUUAAACAACCAGCAACAAGGAGCCAUCACUAUCUAUAGGCCCGUGCCUAUAUCAUCUGGUAUCAGAGUCAAAAAGGUUCCAAACCAGAUUUUAUCCUUUCAUACCUUUCGGUUAUAUCUCUUUUGCAUCUUCGUUUUCUUGUCGCAUAAUUAUUCAAAAACCAAAACAAAGAGUUCUAUUCAAUUCGCAUACAUAGCAUAUCAUCUUGAGCAUUCAUCUACAUCUCUAGAAUCAUUUCCCUUAGCAUCUUUAAUAGCAUCAACUAGUUGCGGCUCAUUGUUAGAACAAGAAUCUGUCAAAGCCCUAGUUAGCCGAAAAAGGAAAGUCUUCAUAAUCACGUAUAAAAAAAAGGAAAGAGUUUACAUUUUACUCAUUGCCUCGUCGUUUUAUUUAGUAUCAACAAAAAAAAAGAGAAAGAAGAAAUUUCUUUAUACACAUUUAGUCGCAUCUUAGCUAUCUCCUAUUUCACUAGGGACUCUUUUGCACUUGAUCUUUUGUUUGCUCUUGUAUGCAGACAUCAGCCAUGGGAGACAACACCGCACAACUACCAGACGUCAUGCAACAGCUACUUGACGGUAUGUGGAGUGUUAGUGACCGUCUCAACCUCAUGGAGCAACAAUUGCCACCACCAGCUCAGCCCAACAAUAAAGGAAACCAACCGAGGGAGCAACCAAGGCAACAACAUGACAAUGGUGAAGAAUAAACCGAUGAAGACAUGCCAAGUCUCGAAGAUGACCUACCACCUGACCCAAACCCACGAUACGGCAGGCGAGACGAUCAUGGCCAAGGCCAACAUCAGCACCGUGGAAGAGAAAGAAGCCGAGAGUGAGAUAGAGAAGACGAGAGAUAUGGGGGCAAAGAUCUUAAGAUUACCCCACCCACCUUUGCUGGAAAGGUCAACCCCGAGGCUUACCUAAAUUCGGAAAGAAGAAUGGACCAUAUCUUUGAUUACUACUGACAGACCAUGCUCUCACAUGGUGGGACCGAUAGGUUUCUGAAAGACGAAGGCUAAGACGUGGGCAAAUCACAAAUUGGGAGGACAUGACGUUCCAUCUAAGAAAGAGGUAUGUGCCAGCUUAUUACUUUAGAGACUUACAGAAACGUUUUCCAAAAUUGUCUCAGGAGAAUAGAUCAGUAGAGGAUUACUACGAGGAGUUUGAGACUAUCAGAAACUGAUUGGAGCUUCAAGAGUCAGAGGAGACAUUGAUGGCCCAAUUUGUCGAUGGACUCCAAGAAAGAAUCGCAAGAAAGGUAGAGUGGCAGAGCUAUGAGCACAUGGAAGAUUUGCUGCACUUUGACAUCAAGUUGAGCAGCAUUUCAAGAAGAAAACAACCACUAACUGAAGGAAGUCUACUUGAACUCAACCCUUCUCUAAACCAAUGCACAAAGGUAAAUCCAUAGAAGUGGAAAAUCGGUUCAAGAAACCAGCUUCCAGACCAUCAAAGCCGGCUAAAAAUGAGCAAGGUAAGGCUCUUAUUCAAAGGUCUCGAGAUAUAACGUGUUUUUAAGUGUCAGGGAAAGGGCCACUUUGCAAAAGAAUGCCCGAAUCAAAGGGUAAUGGUGUUGAGAGAAAAGGGAGAGUAUGAGUCACAAGAUGAAGCCGAGUUAGAAGCCACUGAUUCAGAAGAAGAGAUAACCGAUUUUCCUGAGGUUGGGGAGAUGUUGGUGAUCAGAAGAUAUCUCGGUGCACUAUGUGAUCCCGAGACACUUCAAAGAGAAAACAUCUUUCAUACGAGAUGUAGCAUUGGGAACAAGGUAUGUAGCCUCAUUAUAGACGGUGGCUCUUGUACUAACGUGGUUUUGAAAAGACAAAGCACCCAAGUCCUUACCGUUUAAGAUGGCUCAAUGAUACCACGGAGGUGAGGAUUGCGGAGCAAGUUGUUGUACCAUUCAGUAUAGGAAAGUAUAGUGAUCAAGUUAAGUGUGACGUUGUACCCAUGCUAGCCGGUCACCUGCUCCUUGGGAGGCCAUGGCAGUUUGACAAAGAAACCGUGCAUAACAGUCGCACCAACUACUAUUCUUUCACUCACAACAACAAGAAGCACAACUUAGCCCCUGUCACGCCAUCAGAGGUUCGUGAAAUGCAACAGACCAUGAACAAAAGGAGAAAGCUAAGUAAAACCAAUUUAUUUGUCUCACCGAGUACAAUUCUUAAAAACCUUGAUCAUAAACAACCAGUAUUGCUCAUGAUCUUUAGAGGAAGUUUGUUUACAGAUAAUGAAGAAGGCUAGGAGCUUCCACACGAGGUAACUCAGCUACUGGACAAGUUCAAAGAUGUCUUCCCAUAAUAGAUACCACCUGGCCUCCCACCCAUAAGAGGCAUUGAGCAUCAAAUUGAUCUAGUACCGGGGGCACCCUUACCUAACCGAGCCGCAUAUAGGGUUAAUCCAACAGAGGCGAAGGAACUAGAGGCUCAAGUAUAGGAUUUGAUGUCUAAAGGUUACAUAAGAGAGAGCCUCAGCCCGUGUGCAGUGCCAGUCUUGUUGGUGCCAAAGAAGGACGACUCUUGGAGAAUGUGCGUGGACUGUAGAGCCAUUAACAACAUCACCAUCAAAUAUAGGCAUCCAAUUCCGAGACUAGACAACAUGUUGGACGAGUUAAGUGGAGUUACUAUCUUCUCAAAGGUGGAUCUAAAGAGUGGUUAUCAUCAGGUGAGAGUAAAGGAAGGAUAUGAGUAGAAAAUUGCCUUCAAGACCAAGUAGGGUCUGUACGAAUGGCUUGUGAUGCCUUUUGGUAUCACAAACGCCCCAAGUACCUUCAUGAGACUCAUGAACCACGCCUUGAGAGCAUACAUCUGUAAGUUUUUAGUGGUUUACUUCGAUGAUAUUCUAAUUUACACCCAAUGUUUGAAGGAUCAUAUUAAGCAUCUAGAGCAGGUUAUAGAGACGCUUAGAUUAGAGGGUUUAUAUGCAAAUCUUAAGAAAUGUAUCUUCUGCACUGAUCAAUUGGUGUUUUUAGGAUUUGUUGUAAGUUCUCAGGGCCUUAAAGUGGAUGAGGAGAAGAUUAAAUAAUGGCCCACACCAGCCACGGUUGGACAUGUUUGAAGCUUUCAUGGUUUGGCAAGUUUUUACAGGCGCUUUGUCAAGGAUUUCAGUACAAUAGCAGCCCCAUUGACAUCUGUGAUCAAGAAGAAUACUACUUUCACUUGGGGGCCAACUCAAGAAGCCGCAUUCAAUAAGCUGAAGGAGAGCCUCACAGAGGCACCGGUUUUAGUCCUUCCUAACUUUGAUAAAAUGUUUGAAGUUUAAUGUGAUGCAUCAGGUACCGGCAUAGGAGCUGUCUUAACUCAAGGAGCAAGACCAAUAGCUUAUUUCAGUGAGAAGUUAAGUGGGGCAACGCUCAACUAACCAACUUAUGAUAAAGAGCUCUAUGCUUUGGCGAGGUCACUAGAAACGUGGCAACACUAUCUGCUCCCAAAGGAGUUUAUCAUCCACACAGACCACAAGACCCUCAAGCACUUAAGAGGCCAGAUCACACUUAAGAAAAGGCAUGCACGGUGGUUAGAAUUCGUGGAGACCUUCCCAUAUGUGAUCAAGUACAAGAAGGGGCAGGAGAACAUUGUAGCCAAUGCACUUUCAAGGCGUUACACUCUCAUCUCUACAAUGGAAACCAAGAUCAUGGGGUUUGAACACAUCAAGGGAGGAUAUGAAUCUUAUCCCGACUUCUCAGAAGUCUACAAAGAAACUACAAAGGCCGCAUUUGGAGUAUUCUACCAACAAGAUAAGUUUCUAUUUAAGUAGAAACGGUUGUGCAUCCCACAAGGAUCCAUGAGGGAGUUGAUCACAAGAGAAGCUCAUGGAGGCGGGUUAAUGGGAUAUUUUGGCCGAGCUAAGACGCUGAGUGUACUGAUGGAGCACAUGCGAAGAGAUGUGGAGAAGCUAUGUGCCAAAUGCAUCAUUUGUCUUUGAGCUAAGUCCAGGUUACACCCUAACGGUUUACAUAUGCCUUUACAUAUUCCUAAUGCACCCUAGGUGGACAGUUCUAUGGAAUUUUUUCUAGGCUUUCCUAAGAUACACAACAAAGACUCCAUUUUUUAGUAGUAGACAGGUUCUCAAAGAUGGCGCACUUUAUACCAUGUAACAAGACCAAUGAUGCAACUCAAACAGCUGACCUCUUCUUUAAAGAAGUUGUGCGCCUACAUGGAGUCCCCAGAACCAUUGUUUCAGACCGAGUCACAAAGUUCCUCAGCCAUUUUUGGAAGUCACUGUGGAGAAAGCUUGGAACCAAACUCUUAUUCUCCACCACUUGUCAUCCUCAAACGGAUGGGCGAACCGAGGUAGUAAACCGUACACUCUCAACCUUAUUGUGGGCCACGGUUGGUAAGAAUCUCAAGAAUUGGUUAUCUUGUCUACCUUUCAUUGAAUUUACUUAUAACCGUUCCAAACACUCUGCUACUAACCAAUCUCCUUUUGAAGUUGUCUAUGGGUUCAACCCUCACACGCUUUUAGACCUUAUUAACUUGCCACCAGCCAUCUAUUUGAGCGCAGAAGGAGAAGCUAAGGCUGAUUUUGUGAAAAAGCUGCACCAAAAGGUUAAAGAGAGGCUGGAGAAAAAGAACAAGAAGGAAAAGGCAUGAAUUGACAAAGGACACAAGGAGAUCACCUUUGAACCAGGAGAGUGGGUGUGGUUGCACAUGAGGCAAGACAUGUUCCCACAGCAAAGAAAAUCCAAGCUUGCACCAAGGGGAGAUGGACCAUUCCGAGUCUUGGAGAAGAUCAACGACAAUGCAUAUAAGUUGGAGCUGCCAGGUGAGUUUAAUAUAUCUCCUACUUUCAAUGUUACUGAUUUAUCUCCUUAUGAUGCAGGUGAAACUGUUCUGAGGACAGAACCUUCUCAAGAGGGAGAAGAUGAUGAGGGCAUACAACUACAAGCACCACCUAUACCAGCCGUGAGACAAGGACCAAGAACAAUUACAGGAACUAGAGUCUUGCGUGAGGAGUUUAAUCAAGCCAUUGAAGCCUUACUUAGCAUCCACGAGCAAGAAGACUCUUUGUACCCAAGCUUUAAGGCCAUGGUCCAAGAAAGAAGCCCGGAAGAGCCUAAUGAAGAAGAAGCCUAUCUUAUACAAGACAGCCCAACAACUGAAUUGCCACUUCUCUGACCCAACAAGGAAGUGUCCCUAUUCAGCAUCAGCAUCACACCAACUUAAUACCAUCCUAGCCGUCCAAUCUACCAAGGUAAGCUAAUGAAUACAAUUAUCUACUUGCCUAACUUGGUUUUCUGUCUAUUUAUUUUACAGGUUCUAUUCAUAGUUUUAAGUUUUAGAAUAUUUCUCUAUUUAUUGCACGAGUCUGUACUUGCUUCUUUAGAGUCCCAGAAUUUUUGUCAUUAAUUGUAUUUGUUUCAAGUCCUCAAGAAGGGCAAAGCUGCAUCAGAUUCUUUUAUAAAGUCUCAUAUAAGCAGCCGUGUAUUUUUUCCCUAAUACCAAUAAAGAACGCACUUCUUCAAGCAAAGUCUUGUCCAUUGAAUUCAUUGAAUUCGUCCAGAGUUGGUGUUUGAUCCUUCUUUUAAGAGCUGGUGUUUGAUCCAUCUCUUGCCGGUCUUAUCAAAUCUCAUUCCAUAGAUCUUUGUGGCGACCAUCAUUCCACCGUGGGAAAUACUUCCAUCCCAUCCCUUGACUUAAUCAGAGAGAGUUACACAACCAGCUGAUCGAGUCCCAUCCACUUUCACUUCGUAUCCAUUUAUAUCCUUGUUGAGAGAGUUACAGAACUAGCAACAAGGACCUAUCAUUAUUUAUAAGCCCAUGCCUAUAUCAUUUCCACUUGAUUUUGAGGCGGUGCUGUUUGAGUUCCUUCAUCCACGACACGUGUUUGGUCUUUUGUUUAUGUUGUUACAUGUAUCAUUACACGUAUUUGUUGUAUUAUCUUGGGUUUUAUUGGGCUUCGACUUAAACCAUUGUAUCACAUGUACUUGCCCUUGAUGGGCUGUCCAUUUUAAUGGAAUGGUGACAAAAAAAAAAGUCUGAUGGUUUAAAAUUAACGGCGAAAGCUGUAAAAUCCUUAAAAUUCCUAACAAACAUCACGCCAAUCAUGAUGACAUGUUUUUUUUUAAAUCUUAAAUAUCAAAACCAUUAGUUCAAAAUAAUUAAUAAUAAAAAUAUAGAUAUUGAAUAAUUAUCUAAAAACAAAUAAGUUUCAUGAUGACAUGUUUUUUAUUUUAGUUGUUGGGAAUAUCACCCAAAAUUGCGUUUAGUAAUAUUAUGGUACUUAAUUCUGAAUGGUGACAGCGUUUUUGGCUGUGCGGAAAAAGUGGUUUAAUAGUUGGUACAGUUCAAUUGUGGUACGUGCAGAAAAAAAAAAUUUGUAGGACAAGUGCGGUUAAUAUAUAAUAAACGAUACAGAAUAAUGUUCAAUUGAUGAAAAAACAGUUUGUAGUCCACAAUAAAAUGUUAUGUAUUUGGUGGUGUGCCUCAUUGUAGUGCAUUUGGUGGUGUGUCCAUUGUGGAAACGGUUGAGGUGCCCUAUUGUUAAGCAUUUGGUGGUGUACCCUAAUGUUGAAAGAUGGAGGGCCAUAAUCCUCAUGAAUUUUGCUCUUCGGAAGAUGGACUACCAAAGGAUAAUCCUCCUGUAUUUAGACUUCCAAAUGAUUGGUCGGAACCUAACUGUUUUGGCACAUCUUGGUUGUUCCGUGAAACACCAGUCAAAGCUUCUAGCAGUUGUAGCUUAUCCUCAUCGAUGCCUUCCACUAUAUCAAUGAAAAACUUACGCCAAAAUAUUAACUCUUUCAAUGUAUUAAGGCAUGCCUACUAAAAUUUAGUGCUCUUUGAAUUUUUUUUUUAAAAAAUGGUCUUAAAAAUAGAGAAAAUUUGAGAAAACAACUGUAAAUGAGUCCAUAUUUUUAAAAAUACAUCAUUUUUAAUUUUUUGAAAAAAUAAAUUUAUUUACAUAUAAAAGACUAAUUUAACCUAAAUAAAAAUUAUACUAAUUUUAAUUUUUAGAUCAUAAUUUUUAUUUUAAAAAACAAAAAUAAAUAUCUACAUUUAUGGAUCUUCAACACAAAAUACACUAUUGAAGUUUUUAGUGAUGUUCCAUGGGCCACUGCAAAUAGACACAAUUACCUGUCAUAAUAUUUUUGUUAGCCACAAUGAUUCAAACAAAAAAUAUGAGCUGGUCAUGUCGAGUUUGAUGCCCAAAAACAUAAUUAACAGCAGUCAAAAACAAUAGAGAAAGUUGAAUUAGCCUUAUAAAUUAUAACCAGUUAAAACAAAUAAAUGAACUCUUACUAGCGACUAACGAAAGAAUUCAUGUGCUUCUAAUGAUUAUGGAUUCCUUUCUGAGACUUUCAAUGAUCAUUGGAAACUUAAAAAAAAAUAGAUAGAAAUUGACUUGACCGUCAUCAUAUAAUAACUCUACAAAAGAAGCAUACAUGUGGGAUGCCUAUCGCUAAGUUCAACACACCCAAAGAUAAGCCUGCUACAAUAGAAUUUUGUAUAGAUUACACUCUGAAACUAGUGUGGUGUUGCAUGAGAUAAUCUGUUAUUUAUAUUGAUCCAAGUGCUAGCUAGGUGUUGUGACUCUAAGUAAAGUUUUGAUAGUGUUGAUACUAAUGGUACUUCUUUUGUAUAUUUACGUUAUGGGUUCACCAAAGCUGAUUUUGUUAGAACUAUUCUAAUAUUUUACUGUUUUCAGUUUUGUAUUGUUGUCGUAUCAUAAUUAUAUUUCUUUAGAAAAUAGUUUUUUUUCAUAUUAAUAAUUUCUUUUGGUAAAUACUAGAAAAUAAUAUAUAAGUCAUUGUUCAUAAUAAUAUUAUAAUUGCAUCAUCAAGUAUAUUCAAUCCAAUUUGGUAUGUGAAUUGUAAAAAAAAGCAUAAUAGUUUAUAUAUUAACUUAAAUUAUGAGUAAAUUUUAUAUAAAAAUCUAAUCAAAUUUGGAAAAAAAUUAAUUUUAUUGUUGAUAUAAAUUUGAUUCAAUUAGUUAAAUGAUGUCAUGCAACAAUGCAAAAUAAGAUUAAUUUGAGUUUUUUUUUGAUAAAAUAGCUAUGAUUGGUAUUAAAAAAAAAAGCAAACUUAAAAAAAUUAAUGUAUAUAAAAUUAUACCUGAUGAAAAUUUAGGUUGUGAGAGGAAAAAAAACAAAAACUUGCUUUUUUUCUUUGAUCUUCUCUGUAUUUCCUUUUUUUCUUUAUGAUUUUUGUGUAUUUGUGUACAGUAGCAUUGUAGGUAUUUAUAGGGUAAUUUAGUAAUUAAAUAUUAGGUCUAAUUAAGGCUCGGAAUGCUGACAGCUUUUUCGACUGUGCAGAAAAAGCGGUUUAAGAGUGUAGUACGGUUCUACUGCGGGACAAAUACUUGCUAAUUUUCCGGUACUUGCUACUUGGCGAUCCGUUCAAAUAAUUCAAUUUGCUACUUAUACUUGACCAAUCUAAAACAAGUACUUGCUAUAUCAAGUACUUGCUAUAUCAAGUACUUGCGAAAAAUUGGAGUAUUUGCAAGUUACUUGAUCUGACUUGUUACUUGCCAAAAUUCAUUACUUAAAUCUCAAGUACUUGAUUACUUGAACCUAAAAUAAUUGAACAUUUGAUUAUUUGAACCUAAAUACUUGAAAUAAAAAAAUCAUACAAAAAGUCAAUAAAUAUGCUAACGAAAAAUUAAAUUGAAAUAUUGAUAUGUGAUUAAAACCAAGUAACAAGUAUUUUUAAAUGGGUAGCAAAUAUUUUUUAACAAGUAAUGAGUAACAAGUAAUAAGACAAGUAAGGGACAAGUAUUAAAAAUAUUAAUGAUAUUUGAUACUUGACCCGUACUUGCAAGUAAUAAAUUUCUGUGAUGUGUUACUCGGCUUGAUAACGACAAGUCUUUGUUUUUUCAAGGCGGGUACAAGGCAAGUAACGAGUACGGGAUAACUAUCAAGUAAUUGUGUCCAGCCUGGGACUGUAGAGAGUUUAGGAAAGUGAAUUGUUUAUCUUUGCUUAUACAUGUGAUUUAGGGAAAAGUGACAAGCUAUAUAUAGUAAUUUUAAAUAAAUUAAAUAAAAUAAAUAUUAUUAUUAUAAUAAAAAGGUUAUUAUCUAGCGUGGAAUUCAACUCGACCGCUGGGUAAAGCAUAUAUGUUACAUAAAAACUAGGUCCUUUAUAUUUUCUGUCCCAAAAUCCACAAACUUUUUUUUUACAAAACUCAAAUUACUGUUGUUUUUAAAUAAUUGGAUAACAACUUGCGAUUUUUAUUUUUUUUCCCCGAAAUCCGCAUCCUUUAAGUCACCAUUCACACCUUAAAAACAAAAAAAAAUCUAUUCUCCAGUGCGUUAUUCAAAACAAACGCUGGAUAAAUGGUGUCAUCUGUUUUGAAAUACGGUCCAACAUUUUAUCCAUUGGAGAAAACCACCAAUGAUUUUUAUUUUGUAAAAAAUAAACUGCAACAUUUAAUAAAAUAUGCUUUAUAUGGUUACCAUUCACACCCUUAAAAGUCUGAAUAGUGACAGCGGUUUUUGUUGUGCAUAAAAAGUGGUUUAAAAGUGUAGUACGAUUCAACUGCGGUACGUGCAGAAAAAUAUUAUUUGUGGGACAUGUGCGGUUAGUAUAUAAUAAACAGUGUAUAAUAAUAUUUGAUUGGUGAAAAAACAGAUUGCGGUUGAUAAAAACAACUUAUAAUUAAAUUGUUUGUUUUGGUUAAAGAAAAAUAAUUUUAUAUAUUUGAAUUUAAAUAUCCAAAUUAUAUUUAAAUUUAUUUUUUGAAUAUAUAUAUUGCUAAAUGAGAAAAAACUAUAAUUCAUAAUAAAUAAAAUACAGUUACCUUUUUUAUACAUAAAUAUUAUAUUGAAAUGUGAAAAUUAUGUAAUUUUAUUGUAACAAUUAUCUUUUUGUACAUAAAUAUUUUAUUUUUUAAAAAAUAAAAAUAUUAAUUUUACAAACUCUAAUUUGAUAUUUUUAAUACAUUAUAUUAUUAAAAUAUUAUUUCUCAAAAUAAAAUGUAUUGAUCUAUGAAUUAACUUUUUACUAUUCUCCAUAAUUUCAAAUGCUUUACUGUCAACUUUUAUAAUUUUUUUAUGUCGAUUGUCCAAGUACCUAGAACGGUUUGAUUAACCAAACUGGUGGUACUAAGUUUACAUAAAUAACAUAUUGAAAAUAGACCCGGGCACUUCUUGUUAGAUUGUCUGCUUUCAAAUUUUUCGCGUGUGGGAUAUGUGAUAUGCAGAAAUAGCUGAAUCUGUCCUUCAUUUUCACAAUCUCCUCCAAGUGUAAAGCAAAUGCUAGCCAUUCGUCGGGUGUAGAAACCAUCUUCACCAAUUUCAAACAGUCUGUUGCAAAAGGUAUCGCCGUCUUCUGGUUCUCUAGCAGACAGUGUGUAGUCCAGAUGAGGGCUUCCACAUCCUUAUGCAGAGGCGUAUGACUUCACCUUACUUUUUGGGCGCCUAUAAUUGUCUGUAGCACCCUCUUUAAAAUAGUACCAUCCUAAACCCACAGAUACAUCCGUAUCUUUCCAAGAACCAUCAAUAUAACACCACCAUCCAUCAUACGUUAUAGGUAUCAAAGAUAUCAAAGAAAAAUUCGUAUUUAUGGGGCUUGAAUCCUAUGCAGUUCUUUGAGCCUCCUCCCAUAAUGUUGCCUUCGUUUCCGCUAUUUUCAGUGUAAUUCGUAGAUCUAUAUCCAUAUUAGAAAUUACUUUCUCAUUUCUUUCCUUCCAGAUAUACCAUGCAAUCCAUGGAAACUGUGUACUUUUUAUCUCUUUAGGAAUUCUCCAGAAGAGAUGAUCCAUAUUUGAAUAAACCGAUGUCAUUGGAGAAACACUCGGAGGUGCCGGUAUUUGGGAUAGUGCCCAAGUUUGCAAAGCUGGGGGACAUUCAAAGAGGACAUGGUUAAUAGUUUCUUCCUCCACUCCACACCGUGCACAUUGUGUGUCACAUUGUAUUACCCGGGUGUGUAGCCUAGCUGACACUGGAAUGUACCCAGAUAGUGCUUGCCAUAUAAAGUGUCUUAACUUCGGAGAGCAUUUAACUUUCCAUGUGUAUGUUUGUAAUGCCUUUAUGUCUGGACCAUAGGUAUCAUCAGUAACUCUAUCUGAUGAGUCAUGCUCAGUCUGGUAUCCUGAUUUGACCGUAUAUCUUCCGGUUUUUGUAAGUGUUGGUCAGACCUAUACUAAUGGGAAUUCCACGAAUAAUGUCCACAUCCUCUGAGAUUAACCAUAUUCCACGACUUUGUCAAUGGAUCAAUCAGAUGUUUAACCAUGAUUUGCGUAAUAAUUAAAACCCUUACAAUUGAAUCUCGGGCGAGAAGAUGGUAUCAAAGGAUCAAUCCAUACAGAGAUUGAGUGUCCCGAACCAACUCUUUUGAUUGGCCCUUUAUUAACCAGAGAUCUAGCCGAGAUUAUGCUCCGCCAUCCAUAGGAUGGUGAAUAGGAUCAUACUGGAUCCAAAGGGCUCGUGUUCCGAAAGUAUUGCCCCUUAAAGACCCGCACAAAUAAUGAGUUUUGUCUAUCAAUCAGUCGCCAUGUUUUGCCAGCAAAGCCGUGUUAAAAUACUUUACGUUUCGAAACCCGAUUCCCCCUUCUGUCUUAUCUCUACCCAUCUUAUGACAUGCUAUCCAAUGCAUACCUCGGUGGUGUCCAUCAGUGCUCCACAAAUAUCGUGCUGUUGCACUAGUUAAUUUAUUUGUAGUAUAUUUAGGCAAUCGAAAACAAAACAUGAUAAACGUGGGCAUUGCAGAUGCCAUAGAUUUAAUUAAGAUGUCAACUUUUAUAAUUGUAUUAUAAUCUUUGUAACUAAUAUAUUACUCUUUGUAAUAUUUUUUAUUUUUUAAAUAAUUAUAUAAUUAUAUAUAUAUACAAAACCGCAUCUAAACACUUGAAACGCAUCAAAAUACUAAUGUUUACACUAUUAGGUGCGAUUUCACAAAUCCCUUAACAAAAUUUGGACAGCAUUUAUACUUUUUAUAUUUUUUUUUAUUAAAAAUAAAAAACCGCACCACACUUCAUACAUUGUUGCUAAUUAGUAAUAUGAAAGUGGGCUAAAACCGUCCCGCGUUUCACAAUUACGCAGUCACCAUUCAUUGCCUAAGGGUCCUAAUGGUGACGGCAUAUUAGGUUGUGCGAGAAAAGUGGUUUUAAAGUGCAAGCUAAGAAUGGUAACCUAACCACUGCGGAUUUCAAAUGAUUUUUUAGAAAACCGCACCCUUUUCACCAAUCAAGAAUUUUUUUAAUACAUAAACGUUUUUUUAAUUAAAAAAAUAUGACAAAACGCGGAUUUAUCUUAUGAGUAAAAGAAAGUAUCACAUCUUUAAAACCGGACACAGUUAUAACCCAGCGGUUUUUACUAAAAACCGCACUUAGAUAGCAGUUUCUUUUAAUAAUAUUUUAUUUUUUAAUUAUUAAACAUAUAUUUUAUGCUAUACAUACCCAAUAUACUUUAUAGUUUAUUUCUACCAUAUGCUAUAUUGAUUAUAAAUGGAAAUAUUAUAUUUUUUUUCAAAAAUAAAACACAAGAAUAAAAAUUAAUUAUUGACAAAACUUAAUUAUUAUUAAUGAAUAUUCAAGUAUUAAUUGUGAUGAUUUUAUUAACAACAUGGAUUUUAUUAACGCUUUCCAAUGAAAAAAAUGCAGAAUAAAAAAAAUACAGUUAUUUUUCUUUUUUCUGUUUACUUUAUAAAUGUUAAUUAAUAAAAAACAUAGGAUUAUGUCUCUUCGUCAGAGGCAUUUCACUGUGUUCAGGUGCGAUUUCUUAGAUAUAAAUAAGGGAUAGAUGAAUGAAGUUCGACUCAUUUAUUUUCUCAAAGUAAACAAAAUAAUUUAGACGCAUUGCUAUCCAUUUUUCUAUCUAAAAGAUGUAUGUAUUUUUUUAAUUUAUUAUAAUAUAUUGAUAAUAUUAAAUUGAAAAAAUUCUAUUAUGUUAUUUUAAAUGUGUUUUUUUAGUAAGUGAAGUUGUUAUAAUCUUCAAAUGGCUUAUUUCAUUAUAAUUUUUAAAAAUUUUAAUUUAAUUGAUAAUUUUAUUAUGAUAUUAUUUCUUCAGAAGUUAUAUAAAAAACUUUUAUUCUAUUGUAUUUUAUUUAUUAUGAAUUGUCAUUUUAUUUUAUUUAAAGUUCAUAAAUAUAUAUAAUUUUUUAUUCAUUAUCCAAAAUAAAUAAUUUUAAUUAUAAUUAUACUAAUUAUUAUAUAUUUUUCUAAUAAUUUAUCUAUAAUCUGUAAUCUGUACCGCUUUAGUCUUAUUCACUAUUCAAACAUUUUAUUGUUGAACGCAAAUUUUUUUUCACCAAUCAAACAUUAUUCUAUACCGUUAAUUAUAUAUAAACCGUUCUGUCCCGCAUAUAUAUUUUUCCGCACUUACCGCAGUUGAACCAUACUAUAUUCUAAAAUCGUUUUUUCUGCACAGCCAAAAAUGCUGUCACCAUUCGGAGCCGCAGUACAGUUUAAAUCGGUACGUGUGGGAGAAUUCAAUUGCGGUACGUGCGGGAGAAUUCAACUGUGGUACGUACGGAAGAAAUUCAACUACAAUAUAUGCGGGAAAAAUUAGUCAAAUAUUGGUUUAAUUUCAGUUUGGCUUGGAUAUCUAACAUAUUUUUAAAAAAUUACUCAAAUAUUUAUGACUAUUUAAUUCAGUUCUUUUAAUUUGAUUCAGUUAAUUUUUUUACUGUUAGUUUCAAUUAAUAUUUUUUUAAAAAAUUUCCUUUUGAUAUCUCUAUUUAUGUAUAUAUAAAAACAAAAACCGCACAUAAAAACCGCAUAACGCACCAAAUAACUACCAUAAACACUGUUAAGAGCGUAAUUGAACAUUUUUUCACAAAACUGAACCACACUAUUAAUUUUUUAUUAUUUUACUGAAAACAGCAAUAACGCACCGCACUUGAUGAAUUGUAGUUGAUUGGUAAUACUAACAUACGGUCCACAUAAUAACAUCUUGCAAUACAGAAAACGCAUUUACAAUUCAAGGCCUAAGAGUGUGGUAUGGUUUAACUGCGGUACGUGCGAGAAUAUAUAUUUGCGGGACAAGUGUGGUUUAUAUAUAAUAAGCGGUACAAUAUAAUGGUUGAAUGGUUAAUAAGAAACAAAUACAACUUGCAGUACAUAAAAAUUGUUUUGAAUAUCAUAAAAUACUAUAUUUAUCAUAAGCUAUUAUUAAAAUAAUUAUUUGAACUAAUUUUAUUCUAAUUAAGGUUAUAAAAAAUAUGAAAAACAAAAUAUCGCUAACAAAUUUUUUUUAUUUAAAUGUGACUUCUUUAUGUAUUUAAAUUAAAAGGGGAAAAUGUGUUUUUUUAAAAUCCAUUGUAUAUGUGGGAAGAAGAGAGAAACUAUGUGAUUUGAAAGAGUUAAAAAAAAAUUAGUUAUAAACAAAAUUAUUUUUUUAAUGGUUUGUCAUCCAAAGAUAUGCAUUUUUACUUGUACCUCUGGGGUUUAACAUGCGGUGCAAAAUUUAGAUGUGUUUUUUGUCUACUGAGUAAAACAUUUGUCUUGGAAAGUGUGAGUAAUUUUGUUUUUUCUUUAUGAAUGGUAACGCAUGGAGUACGGAUUUCAAAAGAUUUUUUUGAAAAACACACCCACUUCACUAAUCAAAGAAAUUUAAAUGAAAAUUGUUGCUCUGAUUGGUGACAACAAAAAGUGCGAUUUUCAAAAAAAAAAAAUUAAAAACGCAAAUAAACACCAAUCACACAAGUUUUUAUAAUUAUUUGUGUUUUUCAAAAAUUAUUCCAAAAGUUAUUUGCGGUUUUCAGAAGAUCUAAUUAACUCUUAGACUGCUUUUUUUAGUCUUGCAGCAUUUACUCAGUGGUAUUAAUAAAAUAACGCCGUGGAUAAAAAAAAUAUGCUAAUUUUCUUUUAUUUAUUUACUUUCUUAUUAACAAAAAGUUGAUGUAAAUUGUUUACAACACAUUAGUUGACAUAUAUAUAGAAAAAAACAAAAAAUUAUAUUUAACCUAUUACCAUCGUUUCUGAUCUCAAAAAGGUAUAUUUUUUUAAUAGAUUAAUAUAAUUAACUUUAAUAUGUUAGCAUGUAAUAGUAAAAAAUAGGUUAUGUACUAAUCAAUUUAUAAGUAAUUAGAAUGGUUAAUACAUAUUUUUUAAAAUAUAAUAUGUAACAUUGUAUACAAUUUAUUAUGAUGUUUUUUCACCAUUUAAACUUUUGUUAACCACAAGUUGUUUUUUUUGUGAAAUUGAAUAUUAUUCUACACCCUUUAUUUUGUACUGAUCGUACUUAUCCUAUAAAUAUAUUUUUGAUAACCUUAAUUAGAUUCAAAACUAGUUAAAAUAAUUAUUUUAAUAAUAGUUUUUUGAUAAAGAUAGUAUUUUUUAUAUUGAAAACAUUGUUUAUGUACCGUAAACUAUUUUUUCACCAAUCAAACAUUAUUAUGUACUGCUUAUUAUAUACAAACUACAUUUGUCCCGUAAAUAUAUUUUUCCAAACGUACCGCAGUUGAACCAUACCACACUCUGAAAGCUAUGAAUGGUGAAAGGUAAAAAAUGGAUUUCAUAAAAAAAAGGUAAAAUCGCAGAGACAUCACCAAUCAGGCAACUUUUCCCAAAAAUUGCAUGUUUUUUUUUUAAUAAUUGGCGGUUUUAUCCAAUGGAUAAAGGUUGGACCGCCCUUCAAAAAGAACCACACCAUUUAUCAUGCGUUUUUUCAUGCGUUUCUUCGGAAAACGUGUUAUCAUGCGUUUUAAUGGUGGUUUUAUCAUGCAUUUCUUCGGAAAACGCGUUCGAUAAUAUAUAUUUUUCUUUUCUUUUAGUUUUAAUAUUUAAUUAUUAAAUUAUCCUAUAAAUACCUACCAUGCUGCUAAAGCCAUGUACACAAAAAUCAUUAAAAAAAAACGCAGAGAGAAAGAAGAGUAAAGAAGAAAAAAACAAGUUCUUAUUUUUUUCUCUCACAGCCUAAGUUUUCAUUAGGUAAGUUUUAUAUACAUUGGUGUUUUAAAGUUUAUUUUUUCUAUACCAAUCAUCGAUAUGUUAUAAUAAAAUUAAAUUAAAUAACAAUCCAAGAAGGGAAGAAAAGUUUGUAGGUAUAUAGCUGGUACACAGGACCUUUAUUUGUGCUACCAAAAGGCCGAGCAAGAGACCUCCAAUAAGGUCAAAGGGCAAGUCAGUCCCAAGAGUGAAAGAGAGUUUCAUGUGCCUAAGAAGCAGGGCAAUCUCGAUUGAAGCCAAUUCCAGUUUUUCAUCUUAUUUUAUAUUGUUUCAUAACAUCAUUUAACUAAUUGAAUCAUAUUUACAUUAAUAAUAAUUAAAUUUUGUUCUAAAUUUAACUAGAUUUUAAUAUAAAAUCUCCUCAUAAUUUAAAUUAUAUAUAAAAUGUUAUGCUUUUUUUUUUAACAAUUCACAUACCAAAUUGGAUUGAAUAUACUUGAUGAUGCAAUUAUAAUAUUAAUAUGAACAAUUAUUUAUAUAUUAUUUUUUAUUAUUUACCAAAAGAAAUCAUUAAUAUUAUGAUUCAUAUUCAAAAAAAAAAACCUAUUUUCAAAAGAAGUAUAAUUAUGAUAAAACAACAAUUCAAAACUGAAAACAAUAGAAUAUUAAGAAUAGUUCCAACAAAUCAGCUUUGGUGAAGCCAUAACGUAAAUAUACAAAAUAAAAUCUUCAAUAGUCUAUUUUGUUUUGAAGAUCUGUAAUGUAGAGAUUUAUUCUUGUUUUAAAGUAAAAAUUAUGAUCUAAAUAUUAAAAUUAGAAUAAGUUUUAUUUAAGUUAAAUUAGUCAUUUAUAUGUAACUAAGUGUAUUUUAAUAAAAAAAAUUAACAAAUGAUGUACUUUUCAAAAUAUAAACCAAUUUUUGUUUUCUCAAAUUUUCUCUAUUUUUCAAGAUAUUUAAAAAAAAAAUCUGUGUUUUUUAUUUUUUGGUGUUAGUUAUAUACAUUGGCCGUUAGUAAAAAAAUUAAAUUAAAUAUAAAUAUUAUUAUUAAAACAAGAAAAAUAAUUAUUUAGAAAUAUAUAAUAUUAGUUUUUAAAACCCUUAAACUAAUGUUUGGAUUUUAUUAAAUGUAGAUGUGUUGGAUAAUCGGUCGCGCAACACGAAUUUCUCUAGACAAACAAGAUCAAUUUGUUCAGUUGACAUUUCAACUCCUCCCACAAAAACAACUGUUAGGGUAAAUAAUGCAUUAUCUUGUUUUUCAAUUAUAUAUUUAUUAUAUAUACUAUCAUAAGUAACAACGUAAUUUAAAAAAAAUUGUAGAACAAAGAAAAAUACAAAUGGUCCAAUAUACAAGAAAAAACACUAAUUCAAUUAUUUAACGAAGCAAUUGCUAUGGAUAAUUAUACUCUCAAAAAUGUUUCGGCUGCUGGUAGAGAGUAUAUGGUUCAAAAGUUUAAUUGAGCAUUCAAUUUGAAUAUAACGUAUGUAUUCUUCCAAAACAAGCGUGCUGUAAUUCAAAAAAAGAUACAAGAGAUGGAAGGCUCUUAUGAAUUAUACCGGUAUCUCGGUUGAUCCUGAAACAUCCAUGAUAUAUGCAUCUGAAGAAUGCUGGAAGGAACAUGAAUUCGUAAGUACAAUUUAAUCCUUCUAAUAACGAAAAAUAUGUAUUCAACUUAUGGAAACAAGAAAAAUUAUGAUUCUGAAAUUUUUAGGGAUGCAUAUUAACAAAAAGUUUUAACCGACAGCCACCAGAAUUUUAGGAUGUGAUGGUAAAAUGUCUUGUAUUAUAUGAUGUUUGCUCACAAUCUCAACACGUUUCAUGGCAAAGAAGAGAAGAAUUAAUCAACGAAGAUGCACUUAAUGAAGAAUGCUUUGAGGACUCAGACAUCAACAGCGGUGAUAUGCAACAAACACAAGUUCCUGAGACACAAGAUGAAGAAGAAGUUUAUCGUGUAACCAUUGACGACGAUACAUGCCAUUCGAAUAAAUAUAGAAGUGAACCAGUCCAAAAUUCUGCUCGUAGAGGCCAACGAGGGAGGGUCAAUUUGCGGUCUAACGUUAGACAAGAGAUUAAUUCACAAAGUUAGGUGGAAGAUCACGGAUUUCUGUUUCGAGUGGUUCACGAGGAGGUCGUAGAAGACAAUCAUUCGAGACAACCAUACAAGAACCAUUGUUGGAUAUAUAUACAGAGUUUCAACGACAAAGUUUGCAAUAACUUCGUCCAGGUGCUUGUGACCAAGCUGACUACGAAAUAUUCCUUGCGCUAAAAAUUCCAAAAGGCACUAAAUUUUACUGGGUAUGCCUUAAUACAUUGAAAGAGUAAAUAUUUUAGCGUAAGUAUUUCAUUGAUAUAGCGGAAGACAUAGACGAGGAUAAGCUACAGCUGCUAGAAGCUAUGACAAGUGUUUCACGGAACAACCAAGAUGUGCCAAAACAGUUAAGUUCCGGCCAAUCAUUUGGAAGUCCAAAUUCAGGAGGGUUAUCAUCUGGUAGUCCAUCUUCCGGAGGGAAAAAUUCAAGAGGGUUACGGCCCUCCAACUUUCAACAUUGGGGUACACCACAAAAUGCUCAACAAUGGGGUUCACCUCAAGCGUGUCUACAAUGGAGCACAGCACCAAAUGCACAACAAUGGGGCACACCAGCAAAUGCGCAACAAUGGGGCAACCCCAAAUGCUCAACAAUGGGGGCUUUCACUGAACUUUCAACCUUGGGUUUCCCCAUCGAACUUUCACGUAAGAGGUGAGACACAAGACUUUCAACAAGGCAGCUUAUCAGAAAUGACUCCAGUCAAUGUUCAAUAUGGAUUUUCAGUUGGAGGUCAAGUAGGAAGUACGAAAACUAACGAAUAAGAAACUUCAGGAGCUUUACCAAACGCUCAACCAACAACAUCAUGCGGUCUUGAUUUCACAAAUUAUGUUGAAACUGGAUAUCAAGUACCUAGAUCAGGAGAUAUAUUUAAUAUAUGGAGUACCCCACAAGAAAUAAACACAAAUGUAAACGAAGGUCGUCAAAAUUGUUCAGAAGAUGAAGAUUAGUCUGUAACAAUUGAGUUUCAAUAUUCUCGUUUAUAAAAUGAAAUAUUUUAUAUUUUUUAUUUCAACUUUUUGUGUAAUGUUUUAAUUUAAAUUUAUAUUUUCUAAUGAUUUUUUUUUUCAUGUUUAAAAUUUCAGGCUUUUCGUUUAUGUCAGUUACGAUCACAAGGCAUCCACAACCUAAGUUACAAAGAGAGAAUUGAAUUGUGGAAUUUGAAAAAUGAGCAAUUUACGGAGUUAAUAAAUCAGCUAAGUUUGAAUUACUAUCAUCAAAAUUUUAAAAGAGCAUCAGACCUAACAGACAGAGGUUUGGGAUGGACAAAUAUUUGGCCUCGGCUAAAACAAGAUGCUAGGGUAUGUCCUCAAUUACUACGAAUGUCAAGGCCAUGUUUUAUAAUGUUAUGUGAUACGUACAGACAAAUUACGGUCUUAAACCAAGGUUAAAUAUGAGCAUUGAAGAAAGCGUGACUAUAUUUUUAUGGAUAUAUGGACAAAAAGAAAUUCAAAAAGAUGUUGUUUUGAGAGCAUCUCCAACCCUGCUCCAUUUUCUACUGCAAACUCCAUUUUGGAGUAAAUUUCACUCCAACCCUACUCUAUUUUUUACUGCAAAAUGGAGAAAAAAUAGAGAUUGCUCCAUAAUUUGCAGAAAUACUUUCUUAUUUAUAACCUAAACCUUAAAAUAUUAAAUCUUUAUAAUUUUAUACCUCUUAUCAACACAGCAAGCAACAUUCUCGACAUUAUAUAUGGCUAUAUGCAUUUUCUUUUUUCAGAUAUCCACCUAAUAUUUGUGUGACACAUACCACUUUGAAUUUUAUAUAUAUGUAAUUAAAAAAUGGUCUUCAUGUAUAUAUAUAUAUGACUAUCGGUUAAAUAAUUAAUUUUUUAUUUUAUAAUUCAUGUUUAUAAGAUUUUUUGACAAGAUUAUAGGACUUUAAUAGUUUAAAAAAAUAUAUAAUAGACAAUCAUAAAUAUUUUAAUAUAUUUUUAUUUCAAAAGAUUACAACUUAAAAUAAACUGAAAAAUACACAACAAGUUGAUGAUGACAAUAUCAGGUUCAAAGAGUUUCUCGGUCGAUUUAGAAAAAUCAAAGAUAACGAAGCUCAUUUUUCAUUUCGGAAUGCAUUAAUUGAUCAUUUGUAGGAAAAAUUUCGUAAUUAUGAUUUUUAAAUUUCCUAAGUGUUAUGAUAUUAUGUAUUUUUUUUAUUUAUUAAAAUUUAUUAUGUUUUUAUGAUUUUAUGUAAUUUUCUUUAUUUAAUAAAUAUUUAGUUUUACUAAAUUCGUAAAUUAUAAAUAUUUUAGAUAAAAUAAAAUAAAUGGGUUAUUUUGUAACUUUUAAAAGUUAUAGGUUAUUAAAAGUAAAAGAAAAAAUAGAAUCUAUUAGGAAUAAUCUUUUUUGAAGUCAAAAAUGGAGUCAUGCAUUGGAGCAAAACACAACUCUAUUUUGGAGUUACUCCAAUUUGGAAUAUAAAAUGGAGAUUUACAUUGGAGAUGGUCUGAGACUUGGUCAAAAUCAAGAAACUGUGCAAAGAAAAUUUAUUGAAGUUCUUAGGACUACUGAAUUACUGUCAUGUGGUAAUAUUAAAACUCCAACAAGAGAAGACCUAGACUGAGUUCCUGAAAGACUUAUACAAGAUCGAAGAUACUGCCAUAUUUCUGUGGAUUUGUUGGAGCUAUGGAUGGGACUCAUGUAUGCGUAAAAGUGAAACCAGAAUUAUAAGAAAUGUAUUGGGAUCGAGAUGAUAAUCCAUCUUUGAACAUCAUGGCAAUAUGUGAUUUGAAUAUGUUAUUCACAUAUAUUUGGAAUGGAGCACCAGGAUCAUGCCAUGAUACAUCGUUUUGAAAAUGGUAUGAGUUCCUUUUGCCGCCACCAGAGAAGUAUUAUCUCAUUGAUUCUGGUUAUCUAAACAGACAAGGAUUUUUUGCUCCAUAUAGAUCAUCACGAAACAGAGUUGUGAGAUAUCAUAUGGCUCGGUUCAGUUCUAGUCCUGUUCCUAAGAAAAAACAAGAACUUUUUAAUCGAAAUCAUGCAUCUAUGUGUUCUGUUAUCGAGAGAAAUUUUGGAUGUUGGAAGAAAAAAUGUAGAAUUGUUAAAGAAUUUCCAGGAUAUCGUAUUAAAAUCCUAAAGAGAGUAAUAAUGGCUACAUAGGAUUAAAUAAUUUUAUCAAAAUUUCAUAUUUCACAGAUCCAAAUUUUGCAAAUACAAUGACAGAGACGGAAAUGAACAAUAUAGAUUCUGAAUACGAUUAAAUGACAUUGAAGGAGCAGAGGCAACUGAUGGACACUAUAUGGAGCAAAUAAGAGACAUAAUUGCAGAUAUGUUGUAAAAUCAAAAUAUUUGAUGAUUGUUUUUAUUGUAUUGUACUUAUGGUUUAAUCUUGUUUAGCAUUAUUUGUAUCGCAAUAAAUAAAAUUUUAUUUGAAAUAAAAUUUGAAUAUUUGAAGUUCAUAAAUAUGUAAAUUUGUUUUUUUGUUGAUCAAAAAUAAUAAUUUAAUUAUAAUUAUACAAAUUAUUAUAUACUUUUCUAAUAUAUUUAUCUAUACUCUGUAAUCUGCUCCGCUGUAAUUUUGUUCACCAUUCAAACAUUUUAUUUUGGACCACAAGCUGUUUUUUCACUAAUCAAACAUUAUUCUGUAUCGUUUAUUAUAUAUUAACUGCAUUUCUCCCGCAAAUAUAUUUUCCCGCACGUACCGCAGUUAUACCGUACCAUAUUCUUAAUCCAAAAAAUGCAAAUGUAUGUAAAUAAUUGUGAUUGGUGUCAAUAUGUGGAUUUAAGUUACUUUUUCAAAAAACAUUUUAUUACUAUAUCACCAUUCAUAGCUUUAGACAAUCUUAAACCCAGAUCUAUGCCUCAUGUAUUAAAAAUUAGGCAAAUGCCUACAACCACCAAAAAUAUUAUAAGAUGAGAGGGCCACAUUUUUUUUUGUAGAGAUUACCCUUAUAUGUAAAUUUAAUUUAAUAAAUAUGGUUGAAAUCUAGUUUGAGAAAACCAUAACACUUAAGUUAUUAUUAUCACUUUUAUUGUUAUGAAAAAUUUAUGCAUACAGUAAUAUUUAGUAAAGUUAAUAACAAACAAAGGAAUACAAGAAAAAAAAUAGCUAUUAUAAAUAACUGAAAGAAACAAACACAUAAUAAUAUGUUUUAAAAUUUCUUUAUUUUUGGUUAUGUUAUCAAUAUUAUGGAAGAUUGUUUUAGAUAAUAUUAUUACUUUUAUAUUUUUGUUAAAUAAAAAAGGUUAUAUUUUUUUAAACUUGCUUUAAGCCACCGUAAGUGUAAGUACGGCACUUCUCCAAUCCUAUUCCAUUUUCACUUCCAAGUAUAUUUUUCUCCAACCCUAGUCUAUUUCCACCUUCAAAAUGAAGAUAUGAACAGUAUGACUUUAUAUAUGGAGUGACACUAUUCAUCUUCUCCAUUUUAGAAUAGAUUUUAUUAUUUUAUAUUUUGAUCAUUCAGCUAUUAUAUGUUAUCAUUUAAUUCUUAAACAAAAAUUUUAUUAUUUUUAACACAUAAUUUUAUUAUAAAUUAUAAAACUAGUUAUUUAGAUAAGAAAAACAUAAAAAAAAAAACAAUCAUAACAUAUAUAUAAACAGAAAAUACAAUGACAAAAUAAUUUUCAAAUUAAAAUUACAUAAAAAUAGAAAAUACAAUAACAAAUUAACUUGAAAAUACAUAAAAAUAGAUAAAACACAAUAACAUAUUAGUAAUCUGGUAAACCAUUUCUGGAUACACUAAGCUCAUUAAAAUAUUGUUCAAAUGAAGUAGCUGGAGGAAUAAUUUCUUCAUAUUUUUAAUUUUAUUGAAUAUAAUCAACAAAAUAAAGUUAUUUGAUUCAUUUUAUAAGUUUGACAAACAAAAAAGUAUAACUACAAAAAACGAUAUAGAAUGAUACCGUCUGCAACCACAAACGUUUGCAGAAAUAAGUUUUUAGAUUUCAGCGAUAUAAAACGAUAAUGAGAAGUAUGAAGUUAUUUCUAUGAUUGUUAUCAAACGCCACUAACUACUAUCAAUCGUUAUGUUUACGGGUGAUAACAAAUGAACCAAUCAACACCUAAAUUGAUAAAUCGGAAACGCAAACGCGCACUAAACCAUAAGUGGCAACAGCGUUUAGGGCACUUUUAUCGAACCUUUGAAAAAGAUAAAAGUCAAAAACAGUUGACCACUCUCUCUUCCGCCUUUAAUCGAAAUCGGACGAAAAUGGGAAAACGCGACAAGAAACCAAAUCGGCGUCGCCACAAAGGAGAGUUCUCGAACGACGGCGAAGAUUUCUACGAUCAACACCCUCCGGCUGCUGCCUCCGUAGACGAAGAUGAAGAAAACUCUGAGGAAGAAGAAGAAGAAAACGAGGAAAACGACGAGCUUCAGCCAUCGGAUUUGCCCUCGAAGUUCCUUCUCUACCAACAAUCGGUUCAGGUAAAAUAAUUAGCAACUCGCGACUCUCUUUGUUUUGCCCUUUUAGGUUCCUGAGAUUACAUCGACUGCUUUGGUUAGACUGUUUAGACAUUAGUUCUCUUGCGUUUAUGUUUUUGUCUGCUUUGGAGUUAAAUCUCUUCCAGUGAAGAGAAUAAUAUUUAGGAUGUGAUGGGUCAUUGAGUUUAUGGAACUAAGAAAGUUAGUUUUUUUGCGUUCUCUGUAUCUCUUACAGAAUGAAGCAUUAAGCUUUGAAUUACUGUAUUAUGUGUGUUUUGGUGCAGUCACCAAAAGGAGACAUAAGCUACUUGCAGAAGUUCUUUUUGAUGUAUGUGGGUGGAAGGCAGCCUCUCCAUUUCCAAGAAGAUUUCUGUGGAACUGCUCUUUUAAGGUAACUAAACAUGCGUCACUAGAUACGUAUAUUUUGCUUCACUAAAUAGGUACGAAAUGAUUUGAUUGUUUGGGAUAGUGCGGAGUGGCUGAAGACUGACACAAGAAGGACUGCUAUAGGGCUAGAUUUUGACCUUGAGGCACUAGAAUGGUGCAUGGAUAACAACAUAAGUAAGCUUGGUGCUGACGGGUAUUCAAGAAUGUCGCUUUUCCAUGGUAAUGUCUUGGCCCCUGAUGAGGCUAAGCUAGUGAAAUCCGAAUCACACGAGCUGAUACAGAACAUCAGCUUGGAUGAUGGGGAUAGUGAAGAUUUGGUUGAUCCUUGUGCUGAAUCGUUAGAGAAAGAUGGACCUGAUUCAUUACCGAAGAGGGAUAUAGUGUGUGCUUUCAAUUUUAGUUGCUGUUGUCUCCACAAACGCUCGGAGUUGGUUUUGUACUUCAAGAAUGCACGUAAAGCUUUGUCAAAGAGAGGCGGUAUUUUCGUGAUGGAUCUAUAUGGAGGUGCUUCUGCUGAGGGACAGUUGAAGCUUCAACGGAAAUUCCCAAGUUUCACGGUAAAAAUGUUAAAUUCUUAUCCUUUAUCUGGUAAAAGUGCGUGUCAGAGCCAGAGUAACCGUACUAACGACUAUUCAAAUAUCUUUUGGCAGUAUACAUGGGAGCAGGCUGAGUUUGACAUUGUAAGCCGCAAGACAAGGAUCAGUCUGCAUUAUCACCUUCAGAAGCAGAACAGGAAGAUUCGCCAUGCUUUUUCAUAUAGCUGGAGACUGUAAGUGGCCUCUACUCUCCGCUUCCAGAUCCAUUCUUUCUGCAAUGUUGUACAAGCCUUAAGAGAAUCUUACAUUAGCAUAGUUAUAUACUUGUAGAGGGCUUGCUUAGCUUUUCAAGGAUGAUGUUUCAUCUGUCAUGUUAGGUUCCUGCAUUCCUAGCUUUUAUUGUUGGUUUGGAUGAGUUAGGUAUCUUGUAGUGCAGCCGAUUCGGAUCAUCAUGUUAGUGAGUUGUCCUUGUGUUGGUGGAUCAUGUAACCGAUAUUUAACGUUAUAUUGAGAUUUUUGCUUUCCUUAACAAUAGAUUUAUACGGUUCUUGCACUAUUGAACAUGAAACCUAUGAUUCACGUUUAAGUUCCUCAGAAGUCUUGAGUUCAUGUGUGUGUAGGUGGUCAUUGCCGGAGAUAAAGGACUGUAUGGAGGAAGCAGGGUUUAGAUCAGUCCAUUUUUGGCUCAGAGAAAUGCCAGACGCUUCUGAAAUGCGUAGAACAGAUGGGUUUGGUGCGGGACGUGAUAUCAAGUACGAAGAAGUCAAGAGCUUUCCACAGUGCGAUGCUUGGAAUGCUUACAUUGUUGCGGUUAGUCUCUAAGUUUUGUGUACCAAACAAAACCUUUAUGGUUUGAGUCCUUAACCGAAUCCAUAGCCGUUUUGGAAACUAUGCGUAGAGAAUCAAUCAGUUAUGCAACUCUACUUUAAGCCUUUUUAAAUCAGAUUCUCUAUUCCGCGUUGGUUUUUACUUUUUAGUUCUGUCACACACACUGAUUUACUUUUAGUUAUGCACCAAUAAUCAAGGAGAAGUUGGGGUAUAUUCUAGGCCUGGAGUUUCGAUUAACCGAACCUACCUGGUCCGUUUUUUUGGUUUUUUGGUAAAUCUGGUAAUUAAAAUCUUACCAAAAUUAACCGAAAAUGUUACGGCUCGGUUUGGUUAUUGGUUAGUUCGGUUUUUCUAAAUUUUACCAAAACUAAUCAAAAUUUCGAUUUUUGUGUCGAAAUUCGGUUAUAAUUGGAUAAUUUCGGCUAAUUUGCUUAAUCUGUUUUGGUUUGGUUAUUUGGUAUAUUUAAAAUUUCGUAAUUUUUUUUUUCGACAAACAAUUCCAUUAAUAUCAAAAUACGAUUACAAAGUCGGUACACAAAACUUUUGAAAAAAAAAUUAUUAUAUAAGCAAUAUAUGCGCCAUAUGUUAAGAAUGACACAACAUGUAAAGUGAAUUUCUAAAGUGAAUUUAAAUGCUUUCCAAAGUAAAGUUAUACUCGUUAACGAAUAGUUAAAUUCAUUAUUUUCUUUUUUCGUAUUUUUGUUUUCUAUGUUAAUUGUGUGUUUGAUUAGUAAUUCUUGGCUAAAUCUUAUAAUUACGCACCUCAUGAUAAAACUCAAUACUUAUGUUGUAUGAAGUUUUGUUUCCACAAAUGGAUACCAAAGCUUUCAUAUCCAAAUCUUUCUAUUAGGGUUUAGCUUUGACUAUGUCACCUCGUCAUCGACAACAAGUUAAGAAGAAAUGAAAAAUGAUAACCUCCACAACACUAAAUCUGGAGAGAAUCAUUAUCCAACAUUUAGAUGUCACCAAAGAGAUCUAAACCAGAGCGGUGAUGAAAUAGAUGUCAAAGAAAUUGGUUUCUAUAAUAUUGGAAAAAUAAAUUGCCCAAAAAAUUGCAAAUAACAAGAAAUGUGGUGAAUUAAAUUGAAAACGAAAAGAAAAAAGGAAAAAUCGGUGGUCGAAGCUGUCGCCCGAAAAAGGAUGUAGUACGCCGAUUCGUGGAGGAAGGAGAGAACGGUUUUUUUUAUUUUUAAAUUUUUGUAUAAUUUGUAUAAGAUGUUUCUGACAAAAAAAAAUUAAAAGAACCAAUCGGUUUGGUAUUGCAGAACCAAUCUGAACUGAUAACCGACCCUAAUUUUGAAAGCUGUGGAUCGGUUUAAACCUCUAAACCGAAUGGAAACGAAAGACAGAAAAGUUCGAUUUAGGUUGGUACGGUUCCCAGAUUCGGUUAAAAAUUUCUGGCUAAGUAUAUUUUGUUGGUGUCAAUCCGGUUCAUUUCAUCAAAAGCCCCGAAGGAACGUCGACACCUUCCGAAAUCGAUGACGGUUUGAAGCGGUUUUACGACGGUUCUCUUGCCGUUAUCUCCAUCUCCGUAGUGGGGAUCGUGCUCCACUUCGAUGUCGUUCUCUUCACUAACUCCCAAUUGUCUGGAAUUUAUAAAUUAUGUAAGUGGCCUCCUGAUCCUCAUUACGUUUUUAUUCGUUUACUCUCUUUACUGGUUAAACUUCGAAAUCAAUCAGAGAAAUUCCAAAUGGCUGAAAACUUAAGAAGAGCAAUUCAGGACAUUAACCUUGGGGUUAAUGAUGAGCCGGUGCCACUUCCUCCCGAAAUAUGCAAUGCUGCUGCAACAGCGAACCAAUUCUGUUUAUUGGGUCGCUCUCUCAUGCCAGGGAAACAAAACCUACGCAGAAUUGUGGCCGUGUUACCCAGAAAUUGGGGAUUGUCGGGAAUCAUUUCUGGGCGUAUUGUGGAACGACGUCGGUUCCAAUUUGUCUUCCCGUCAGAAGAUCUGAUGCAAUCUGUCAUCAACCGAGGACCAUGGGCUUUCAAUGAUCGAAUGCUAAUUCUCCGCCGUUGGAGCCCGGAGAUGAAUGAUUUCAACCUCAUUCAUAUCCCAUUCUGGGUCCAGAUCCGAGGUAUCCCUCUACAAUUCCUCACACAAGGGGUUAUCGAACACAUCGGGAAGAUACUGAGUGGCGAAGAUGUAAUAGAAGUGGAGUUCAACCCAGAAGUUGCCCCAAUGGUGGAGUUCGUCCGUGUCAAAGUCAACUGGAAUGUCGAUAACCCUCUCCGUUUCCAGAAGAACUUCCAAUUCUCACCGGGGGUCAGCACCUUACUCAAAUUCCGAUAUGAGCGACUAAGGGGUUUUUGCGACAUCUGUGGGAUGAUGACACAUGACUCGGGGCAGUGUGUAGUUGAAGAUCAUGACCCAGAGGAUCCACAUGAUGAUAAUGACGAUGCACAAGAUGAGCCGGAAGGACAAGAAGAGGAAAUGCAGGAACCAAACCAACAGAAUCCAGAAGUUAAUUCAGAAGAUGAAGAAAUGAACCCAGGGAAUCAGGAAAUGGAGGCCGUACAGGCGGAUAACGAAGUGGAUAAUGAUGAAUUGUACGAUGAGCAGGGGGAAUUGGUGGGUUUUGAAGACUACGAACUACCCAUGGUGAAGAAACAUGGCAGGAAGGAAGUUCUGCGUCGCCGCCGGUUCGUGGAAAACCUGUUAGAGGAAUGGAACAAUGGGAACCCAUCAAUGCUGAGGGCUUUCACUCCAGUACCAGAAACUUAUACGACGAAUGAUGGAAGUAACGACGACAUAGAGGUUCAACAAUAUGGAAGUUUCUUCACUGGUGACUCGGUAUCCUUUUCUGAGGAUGGCUCCGCUACUAAGUCAUCAGGUAAAAGACCUCUGAUCUCAGAAAAGGUUACAGAUGGUGUGGAUGCUUUUGAUGCAGGGUAUUUGGUUAAGCGACCACGACUGAACAUGACACCAGUGGACAAGUUUGUGGAUGGAGAAAGACAAAGGGUUGACGAUGAAAACUCUCUCCUCAAGCUGCAGUUUGAUUAUGGCGAGAAUGAUGAAGAUACGGAUGAAGCCACUACACAACACGGAGGCGCGGUGGGCCCGAAUCCACCACCGGUCCAAUGAGAGCUCAGGUGUGGAACUGUAGAGGCUUAGGAUAGCGCCUCACAGUUCGACGUCUGAAGGAGAUGCAGAAGCUGUAUCAUCCGGACUUGCUGUUCCUCAUUGAGACGAAGCAAAAUGACGACUACGUUCGUGAUAUCGGGGUUUAUUUGGGGUUUCAUGAUAUGUGUAUUGUAGGUCCUCAGGGGUUAAGUGGGGGAUUAGUAGUUUAUUGGAAGCAACAUGUUUCAGUUCAAUGUAUUUCCGCAGAUGCAAGACUCAUCGAUCUUCUUAUUGAAUAUAAGUCUUUUCAGUUUUACUUGUCUUGCAUUUACGGUGACCCUGUUCCAAAAAUGAGACAUCAUCUAUGGGAAAAGCUACAAAGAUUAGCCGUGUCAAGGGUUGGGCCUUGGAUGAUGUUUGGUGAUUUUAAUGAAAUCACUAAACAAUCAGAAAAGAGAGGAGGAAGAAUCCGAAAUCCAAACAGUUAUGCUGAUUUUAACACGAUGAUGAAAGUAUGUGAUAUGACAGAUCUCAAGCAUAAGGGUAACGAAUUCAGUUGGGUGGGAAAGAGAAGGAAAGAGGUUAUCGAAUGCUGUCUUGACCGAGUUAUUGUGAAUACAACCUGGAAAUCACUCUAUCCAGAAUCAGAAUCCGAAUUUUUGGAACUUGCAGAAUCUGAUCAUCGACCAGUUGUGGUAUCAAUCGAGUAUGAACCACGUAUACGAAAGGGGCUUUUUCGAUAUGACAAAAGACUAUUUGCACAUGAAGGAUUCGCAGAAGUUGUAAGAGAUCACUGGCAUACUCCAACAAGCAUGAACAUUAAAGUAUCAAAGAAGCUAAAAGAAUGCAGGAGAGCAAUGGCUCAAUGGAAAAGGAGAAACAGAACAAAUGCUGCAGAAAGAAUACAAAUAAUUCGUUUGCAGAUAGAUCAAGCUAUUCGAGAUAAUACCAUUACCUCAGAAGAAAUACAUCAAAUGCGGAGAGAUCUAAAUAACGCCUAUCGGGAUGAGGAAGAGUUUUGGAAACUAAAGAGCAGAAAUUCAUGGCUAAAAGUUGGAGAUAGGAAUACAAGGUUUUUUCAUGGCCUAACUAAAGCACGUAAAUCGCAUUAUUGCAUUAAACAGAUUGAGGACGAUCAUGGGAUUAUUCAUCGCCGUGAUGAAGCCAUUGCAAUAGUAGCUCAAGAAUAUUUUCAACAACUGUUUUCAUCUUCCAACCCAACACCACUUGAUCAAGUUUUUGAGGAUAUACAACAGAAGGUAACGGAAGAGAUGAACCAGUUUUUGACUAAACCAAUCACUGAUCAGGAGAUCAAGAAUGCUGUUUUCCUAAUCGGUUCAGAUAAAGCAUCUGGCCAUGAUGGAUAUUCUGCGGCUUUUUAUCAACAAUUCUGGCAAGAUAUUGGACCAGAUAUAUGCAGUAUGGUUCGCAGGUUUUUUGAAAAUGGUGAGAUGGAAGAGCAGAUGAACCAUACAAACAUGUCUUCUACCAAAAACAGGGGUGUCAACCAAAAUGAAUGAAUUCAGACCAAUAAGUCUAUGUACGGUACAUUAUAAAAUCAUCUCGAAAGUGUUAGUGAUGAGGCUAAAAGAAUGUCUGGAUCAAAUCAUCUCUGAGUCUCAAGCUGCUUUUGUGCCAGGACGUAAUAUCACAGAUAAUGUGUUGGUUGCACAUGAAUUAUUACAUGGACUGAAGUCAAAAAAAGAUGUUGCUGAAUCGUAUAUUGCAAUUAAAACAGAUAUAAGCAAAGCUUAUGACAGAAUGGAAUGGGGUUUCUUGGAACAAGUAAUGAGGAAGAUGGGAUUCUGUGAAAAAUGGAUCGAAUGGAUCAUGCGUUGUGUUACGACGGUAUCUUUCUCAGUGUUGAUUAAUGGGAUUGCAUAUGGGAAUUUUCAACCAUCAAGGGGCAUUCGACAAGGAGAUCCUCUGUCUCCUUAUCUAUUCCUUAUAUGUGCAGAGGUAAUGAGUCAAAUGUUAACUGCUGCAGAGAGGAAUCGUCGAUUUCAGGGGUUGAAACUAGCAUCACAUUGUCCAACAGUAUCUCACUUAUUAUUUGCAGAUGAUUCCCUUUUUUUCUGCCGAGCAACAAGAUCAGAUUGUGAAACAAUAGCAGAAAUCAUUAGGAGAUAUGAAAUUAUUUCAGGGCAACAAGUGAACUACACAAAGUCUUCCAUCAUCUUUGGUAUGAAAGUCAUACAAAGACAACGAGAUAUGAUUCAGGACAUAUUAGGAAUACAAAAUGUUGGUGGAGGAGGCAAAUACUUGGGGUUACCAGAACAAUUUAGUCGAAGCAAAACAGAAGCUUUUGAUUUUGUUGUCAAGAGGAUACAAGAUAAGUUAAAUGGAUGGUAUCAUCAGUUCCUUUCUCCUGCUAGAAAAGAGAUUUUGAUCAAAUCAAUCCUUCAAGCAACGCCUAUUUACUCUAUGAAUUGUUUCCAACUACCAAAAACAAUUUGUGAUGAGAUAAAUAGCAUGAUAACAGAAUUUUGGUGGGGCAAAGCUAAUAAUUCCAGAAAUAUACCGUGGGUGGCUUGGAAACGAUUGUCGCUACCAAAGACUGAAGGAGGUCUAGGUUUUAAAGAUCUCUAUCACUUUAAUAGGGCACUUCUGGCUAAACAAGCGUGGCGUAUCCUCAUUAAGCCUUAUUCUCUACUUGCCCGAAUUUAUAAGGGAAGGUACCAUUACAGGUUGAGGUUCUUAGAUUCAACUUGUAGUGGCCAACCUUCGUUUGGCUGGAGAUCGAUCCAAGCCGGUAAAGACCUUCUUAAACAAGGUCUAAGAAUUCAGAUAGGUACUGGUAAAGAGAUCAAAGUUGCAUCGGAUCAUUGGAUUCCAACAUCACCACCAAGAGCAGCACGGGGUAAUAAUAUCGAUGCAAAUUUAACAGUGGCAGAACUAUGGAUACCUGGUAAACGGGAAUGGGACGAGCAAAAACUACAAAAUGUAUUAUGUACGGAAGAUGCUUUCAUUGUAAAAAGUAUCACUCUCUCCAAAUUUGCUGUUGCAGAUAAGUAUAUCUGGCCAUAUUCCAAUGAUUCAUCUUACACUGUAAAAUCAGGGUAUUGGUUUGCAACGCAUGAAGCAGAGAGAAAUGAAGUCAUUGAACCUCCUAAUGGAUCAGUUGAGCUCAAAAUGAAAAUUUGGAAGUUGGAAAUCUUACCAAAGAUCCAACAUUUCUUAUGGAAAGUGUUAUCAGGUGCUCUUCCAACAGCAGAAAGACUCCGUACACGUGGAAUCAAUGCAAAUCCACUUUGCCAGCGAUGUUGCCUUGCGGAUGAGACGAUUAACCAUAUCUUAUUUCAAUGCACACAUGCUCAAGCUAUAUGGCGUUGUUGCAAUAUACAAUUGUUUGAUAACCCAUCAAGACUGUUAGAAGAGAACAUCGAACGACUCAUCACCAUCAAUGAAACAAAGACGUUAUCUAUGGAAAACAGAGUCUUGCCGUUUUGGACAAUCUGGAAUAUAUGGAAGUCAAGGAACGAAUUUAUAUUCCAAAAAAGAAAUUCUCACCCAAGAGAAGAUGCUGAACGUGGAAUUCAAGGGGCAAAGGAGUGGAUAGCGGUUAUACGAAAUGAGGAUUUCUAUGGCCGUAAUGUCAAUGUUGAUUCAUCAAAACGUUCUUCUAAUUGGCAGAACCCACCACAGGGAUGGCUAAAGUGUAAUUUUGAUGGUUCUUAUGUUUCAACAAGUGAUAAAACUGGUGUUGGAUGGAUUCUCCGGGACCACGAAGGAAAACACAUUGUAUCAGGUAAUGGACAACUUCCACAAUCACAAAGUUCACUUCAAGCGGAGGCAAUCAGUUUCUUACAUGUUAUUCAGAACAUAUGGCUACAAAGUUGGAGAAAUGUUUGGUUUGAAAGUGAUAACAAAGAAUUAGUACGGCUGAUAAAUACAGGUGGAGAAAACACAGAGAUUGGAAAUACCCUGACGGAUAUAAGAUGGUGGAUCAGAAAGCUCCCUCUAUGUUCCAUUGAUUAUGUCAAUAGAGAGCGCAAUCAAGCAGCAGAUAUAUUAGCAAAGAAAUCAUAUAAAAGUAGUAAUUCAUAUAAUAUUUAUUAUUGUCCGCCUAUAUAUGGCUACUGAACUAUUUGUAUUAUCCGUUUACGGAAUAAUUAAUAUAAAAAGAUGUUAAAAAAAAGAAAAUUCAAAUAAAUUGACGAUCGAACCAAUUAAUGACAUUUGAUUAUACUUACUAUUUAUGAAUUAAUGUAUAUAAAUAGUAUAAAAUAUAUGAAUUAAUGUGAAAGCUUUCUGGAAUCUUCUUUCAAUGACAGCCUUGCAACCAUCAAUUUGUUCAUUCAAAGCCAAAAUUACACACAUUUUUUGCAAUUUUCCAUAUUACGGCAAAAAAUAAUAAUAAUUUAAUUCUCGAUUGCCUCGUCGUUAGUUUUUUUUCCCAUUUCCUCAUAUUUCUUCUUCGUCUUCCUCUUUCCCUUUCUCAUCUCACGAUUCCUUUCCUUUCCUAAUCCAUUCGAUUUCCUCUCUCUGCUUUUAUAUACUGCAAAUCAUCAUCCGUCAAUCCUAAUUCUCUCAUCUAUACGUUAAUCUCACCGAAUCAGAACAGAUCUAUUUAAUUGUUUUUUGUUUUGAUUUGUUACUUUCCAGGUAAUGAUUUGUUUUCUCGAUCUCGCUAUUGAUUCUAUGUAAUCACAUCACGGAUCUGUGUGAUUGGGUUUAGAAUUCAAACUAUUUGAUUUAAAUAUGAUUUAAUUUAAUUUACCGUCGUUGAUUUUCUAGGAAUUUGUAUUUUUUGUUCUCUCGCCGGAGUUUGAUUAUUAUCCCGAUCAUGGCGGAGGAACACAGACUCCAGGAGCCACGAUUAUGCGCCAAUAACUGCGGUUUCUUCGGAAGCACCGCCACGCAAAAUCUCUGCUCCAAAUGUUUCCGAGAUCUCCAGCACCAACAGGAAAACUCCUCCUCCGCCAAACACGCCCUUAACCAAACCUUCGCCGCCGCUGUUUCUUCAACUGUUGGUGGUGCUGCUUCCUCCUCCGUAUCACCACCACCGCCACCGCCACCGACUCCAUCGGAUCCCAAAACGAACCCGGAGAAACGAGCGGCGGCUGAGCCGGAAGAAGAGCAGACGCCGCCGCAAGAUCCGAAACGGUGUUUGACUUGCCGGCGGCGCGUGGGGAUCACGGGGUUCAGGUGUAGGUGUGGGUUCGUGUUCUGCGGGACGCAUAGGUACGCGGAGCAGCACGAGUGCUCCUUUGAUUUCAAGAGGAUUGGGAAGGAGAAGAUCGCUAAGGCGAAUCCGAUUGUGAAAGCAGAGAAGCUGGAGAAGAUCUGAAAAAAGAGUUUGUGUGGUGGUGUGUUUGGAGUUUGGUUUGAACUUUGAAAUGAAUGUAAAUUUAAUCAUCAGUUUAAAGCUUAUUUGAUUUCAUUUCUUCUCAAUUUGGUUUUAAAAUUUGCCUCCAUUGUUAUUGUAUUAAGCUUUCGUUUCAGAGCUCUUUCAACAAAACAGAACACAAAAGGCAGCAGACAGAAACAAGCGAAUCUUAAUGGUCUUGAUUUCUUUGAUGAUUUUGAGAAUAUGCUUUGUGUUUCUUUUGGGCAGGCUCAUACUUAUUUGGUUGGACUUUGCUGAGAGCAAACAUGCCAAAAAUCUUUCACAUGGUAUGCGGGACACUAUGAUACUCGGUCAAGGAUAUAUGAGGCACAUCACAUGCCUCUGAUGAAUUUGGAGAAAGCUGAGAUAAACAGAUCCUUAGUUCAGAGAGAAACCUAAUCGACAACAAUGUUAACGAACGCUCUCAUGCAUGAGUUUUCCCUUGCUCUCAGGGACAAAAUAAUCGAUGUUGAUUGGAAUCUCGCAUAGGUCAAGAAACCAGAAAUGGAGUUUUGAGGUAGAGGAAUAUGGUUUCCAAGAGACGAGUAAAAACUCAUUUAAGAAAAGUUAAAUCUUCACGGCAACAGAAAACAAAAUAAUUAAACGGUAUAAGAGAAACAUAAAUUAAAUCUCAAAGCAAAUCACUUUGCAACACGCUCAAAUAACCGAGCUUGAGGAAGAUCAAAGCUGCGUAACUGAAAGGCAUUUCUGUCAAACUCGAUCAAUGCUAGAUGAUGUCAACUCAUAUACACUUUCAAUACACAAAACACUAUAGAGUACAUUUUCGUAUAAUUUAUUGUUGUUCAUCUUCGUAUAAUCUAAACCCACCAUUUACAUCGACGAUAUCUUCACAUCGAUCAAGUUAUCGAUUGGCAAUCGAAAUCAGAGAGAAUAUAUCUAAGACGAGGUUGGCUUGGAAAAAUCACGAGGUUAGCUUGGAAAAAAUCACGAAUCAGAGAGAAUAUAUCUAAGAAGAAGCUUGACCGAUUGUGUAAUGUCCAUAUAAACCGUAUCUGAUAAUUUGUUGGCUACAUGCAGGGCCGUGCCUAACUGCCUAUAUAUGUAGCUGAGUAAGAAAUAUUGGCCUACGGAUCAAAUUUUUUUAAAAAAUCCAAGGCUAAGUAGGAAUAGUAGAAAGCUAAGAGAAUAUAAAAUUUAUUCAUAAAAUUGGAAACUAAUUAAAAAAGUAUUUAACAAAUAAAAAGGUAGGGUAAUGGUCGCAAAAAUGUUUAGUUGGCCGCUUAAUACACGGUAUAUCUUCAACUCACCUUCUUCAUUAUUGAAGUUUCGAAGCUUUCAGUUAUCUUCUUUUUAGAACAAUAACAUAAUUAUCAAACGGUAUAUCAGUAGGUAUUUGUUAAAUUAUUAAUUAUUUUCUAGCAAAUGCUAAAAAAUAAUUAGUAACAUAAUUAUCAAACGGUAUCUCAGUAGGUAUUUGCUAAAUUACUAAUUAUUUUCACUUUAACAAAAAAAAAAUUACUAAUUAUUUUCUUAUUAUAAUUUUUUUUUGCUAAUUUGUUGUAACUUUUUUUUACAUAGAUGUCUGAAAACAACCUUAAAAAAACUAUGAAAAAAAAAUUAAAACAGAAAAGAGAAAAAGAAAAGAAAUCAGUGAAUGCUUUAUUCAGGUACUUCAAAAAACCUAAUUAAACUCUUGAUAAAUCUAUAGAAAAAGAUGAUGAGCAUCAUGGUGUUUCUGGAGAUGGUUAGAGAAUACGAAUGCAGUGAAUAAAGAUGACUUAAAUGAGAAAAAUGAUAUGAAUAGUUGAAUACGCUAUAUGAAGAGAAUUUGAAUAAUAAAAUGGAUGUAGUGAAUGAAGAGGGUUAAAAAAAAUAAAGAUAAAGAUGAAGAUAAUAAUGAAUGUGAAAAAAGAGAAUGAUCUAAUGGAACAUUGUGAAUUAGUUUUAUAUGGACUAGGUGAUUUUCCACGCUACGCUCGGAUUGUUUUUAUAUAUAUUUUUACUAUUUUAAUAUAUUCAAAUUUUUUUUAUUAAAAUAUAUAUGCAGAUGCUUAAAAUACAUGUUUUCUUUGUUUAUUUUCUCAUACAAAACUGUAUAUUUCAAACUGUAUUUUUGAUCGAACUGUAUUUUUUUGAAAAGAGAUAUACAUGAUAAAAACUACCAAAAGGUAAAAAAAAAAAAACAGAUUUCUCUGUAAAGAAGCAAUACAAGGAAAAAAGGAUUUCGGAUUCAACAUUUGGGUUUCUUCGGUUAAGAGGCAUAGACAUCUAAGUGUCUAAAUGCUUACUGAGGCAACUCGAGAUCGGGUCUUCGAUCAAAAGCAUCACUAAGCUACGCACGGAAGCAUAUGUUAUUGUAGGUUUAAAUUUUAUGUUUUAGAAAUGUUUUAGUACGUAUCUUGUUACCUGAUUUGUGUGAUUUAUGUUUUGUAAGCCUAUACAUAUCUUUAAAUAGUUUCCUUACCAUAGAAUUUGAUUUUUCUUUUUUUUAAAAAAAGAACAAUCAUAAUCUUCUAUGUGGGUAAAUUAAAUUGAACUGGUUUCUUAAUGUUUUCGGGGUCUUGAUUUUGAAUCUUAACAAAUAGGGUAGUGUUGUAUGUGAUUUCCGCUAUUUGGAUAAGAAAAAGAGAGCGAAAUGCAUGUGGAAAGUGAAGGUUAGUUUUCCCCCUCGGCAAUUCAUCUGAAAAUAAAUCUAUAAGAAAGGCAUAAAACUAAUUUAACGUUCACAUAAGUCCGAAAGAGUAAUAGUCGGAUGAGAAUAUAUAAACAUGCCCGCCUAAUUUAAUUAAUAAAACUUUGUUUUCACUUUUGUGCAUUCAAUAGUGUCUCUUCAGGAAUCAAGCAUAAAAAAGAAGGUACUCUUCAGGAAUUGUUCAUUCAUUCAUUUUGAUGGCCUAUUUGUUUAUUUAGCUUCUUUUCGUUUUUUCUUAUUCCAGCAUUCUGAUGUAAAUAAAGACAUAGUUUUUAACUUGUGACCAAACACACUACCCUCUUUUGGUUAAUUCAUUUUGUCUUGCUUAUUCAUUCUUGAACUUUUGAGAUACCUAUCUUCGUUGGCCGUGAUAAUACACCCUUUUUCCUGUAGUAACGGGCAUUUACCAAACUAAAUCAAAACCAACACAGAAUACUCGGGAAGAGGAUGAACUAUAUUGGACUUCCCUUUUCACUGGUUGAGAUUCAUCUUUCUCUUACCAUAUGCAUGUCAUUUGAUUUUGUGAAAUACAGCAUAGUCCAUUGUCUAAUGUAUAACCCACCAAAGAUUCCCACCCAUGAAUGAAAUUAACUAUAACCUAAUUAAUCAAUACCAAUACUGCAGCCAACGUUUAAUUGGCAUACACAUUUUAUUGAUCUUGUUUGGUGGCAACUUUUAAGAAAACAAAUUGAAAUCGUAGUUAUUACCCAAAGAGCCUGAGAGGUAGAAAGAUAAAAAUAGACACAAAGACUAAUGAGAGGAAUAAACCUUUUAGCAUUCCCGUAUAGCAGGCUGAUUAAAUUGUCAUUAAUCGAAGGAAAAGUAGACGUCGGAGGCCCAUGCAUUGACGACUUCACCGUUUUACAGAAUCUCUACUAUUAGAAACAUAGACGGACCGUUAUCUAAACGUUGGCAGACUUAAUGACUUGGGAGGCCAUGAAAGGUCGACAAUGGUUAUCAUUGCUGAGCCCAUUUAUGCCCAUAUUUUAUCGAUCUCCUAGGUAUUAUCAGGUCGGAGGUUAUUUGAAUGAGCGAGUAAAAGGGGUAAAGAGAUGAUCAAAAGUGGAGGAUAAUUAUAUAAUACAUGAUUAGUAUUAGUUGUCAGAAUUUGAUAUAGAAGAUCAUGACAUCGUAUCUUAGCCUAACAUCUCAAGCAAAAAAUUUUCCAUUUCAAGCUAUUUAAAACUAAUUCAGUACCGAUCUAUCUGGAAAGAAAUAGGAAACCUGUUGUCGAACUAUGUUGUCGGCCUGCAAUCAAUAAAUGUAAGAACUCUGAACCUAACUUUACACUCUAUUUAUGACGUUCGGCAUACUGUGUAUAAGGAGAAUCUAGACUCAAAAACACUUAGUAUAGCACAUGGGAGAAUCAUAAGAUGGAAAGCAGAAUCGUACAGUUGCAUGCAAUCACCUUGUUUAGAACUCUGUUCCUAAAUAAGACUAUGUCUCUACAUAUAAGGAGAAUCCAGAUUCUGAGGCGCUUAGUAUAAGAGAUCGGAAACAGCAAGUUACAGGGAAGAUGAGUGCAACCAAGAAGUGUUUGGAAAAUAUGAAGAGAGUAGCUGUGAUCUAUUGACUACAAAAAAAUCAUCGAGAUGCUUAUAUGUGAGUGGUUGUUGCAAGAAAAUUUAUCAGAAGAGAGUAAGUAAAUCUAUGAACAACCUGUUUUUAGACACCAGCUUUCGAGUGUAAUAGCUGGUUUAGCAUGUAAGUUCAAGUUAUAACCCAGGAAAAUAUUUUCUACCAAAACCUACUAUUCUGAUAACCUGUAUAUUUUUUCAGCAUACUCAACGUAGGAGCAGGAGCUAGGCGUGGCUGGUCGUUUCUACCGACGUCUAACAGGGGAAAAAUAAAGCAGAGAAAAAAUCAGCAUACAAUCUAGAAAAAGUCUCCAAAUGAACUGGUUAAAGAAUAACAAAUGAAGCAAGUUUUAAGAGACACACCUUUUACUUGACGUGUUUUUCUUCUUUGUAGUCUUACUCUUCAUAUUUCCAACCUCUCUCUCUCUUCUUCUGUCGCAGCUAAUAUAUAUAUAUAUAUAUUAUACACAAGCAACACUCCAAAAAGCAAAUAAAGAAAUCCAAUAUAUAUAUAUAUAUAUAUAUUGGAUUUCUUUAUUUGCUCGAUUUGGAGUGUUGCUACUGUAGUGAAGGUGAGAUUAGAUCAUCACAAUGCUCAGAUGCAUGAUUACAAAAAACAGGGGAGCUGAUAUCGAGAAGAAGAAGACAAAUUUUGACAGACUAACCAUUGGAGGAUGAUUUGAAGGUUUGAACUUCGGAAAUCAUUGAUGUUGGUAGUCAAGUGACUGGGAUCUAAAGCAUAGAAAAUGCAUUUGAAUAAGAAAACGACGGUGAGGGCCUUACCUCUCCAAUCUGGAUCGUUGGACUCCUUGCGCUGAUAUAAGGAGUUCCAUUUGCGUUUCUCUUCCUUUCCUGCAUCAGAAAGAGGUGAUCAUUAAACAGGUCUAAAGUAUCUAAUAUAAUGAAGCAAAGGAAAGCAGAAAGAUUAGUUUGCCAAGAAAAAGAAGGAGCGUUGAUUUUGAGGGAGCCGAGGCAUUUGAUCUAGUAACUUUUAAUUCAAUGUGAACCGUUGUGAUAAUAGAAGGAAGGCAAAGCGAGAACAUUGACAAAUACACGUGUAAUCUUUCAAUUGGUGAUAGAUUAUUGUUUAUGUGAGGAGAGAAUGGACUUGGAAUGUUGACGUGGCGUCUUCUCCUCAAGUUUUUAAAAAGCUGAUGUGGAUAGGGGAGCCUCAAACUUCUACUUUUAUUAGAGUAGAUUUGAGACGGUAAGUGUCUUUUUUAUUUAUUUAAGUUCGCUUACGGGCUAGAAAUCUCUGGGCACAACUCUGGCUACGUGCGUAGCUUGUAAUAUUGUGAUCACAUGUUCGAAUUUCACAAUGACUGUUUCCUUUCUUUUUUUUUUUAACAAAACUCAAAACAACAUUGUUUUGAGAAUAUUUUCCAACAAACAUUCCCAUCUGAUUGGAAUUCGAUGUUGGAAUUCGAUGAGUGAAGAUCUUUUAUGGGCAAUUUUCGGCGGUGGAGGAGGGAGCUUCAAUGUCGUUUUGGGAUACAAGAUAAGCUCGUUCCCGUGCCAUAGACCAUCAAAUUAUUUGACAGAUUGUGUUAUGUCUACAAAAGUAGUAUUUGAUAUCAAUAACAAUGAAGCUUGUAUCGGUAGUAUUUGAUAUCAAUAACAAUGAAGUUUGUAUGGUUCAGUUGGUAGAGUUCUCAUUUUUAAUUACUGAAUUUGUGGGUUCGAGCACCAAAGUUGAUGUUUUUUAUUUUCAUUAAAAACAGAGUGAAAACUACGUCGUUUUGAGGAAAUUUUCCAACAAAGAUUCUUACCUGACUUAUUUCCGUUCAAAGUUUGAUAGAGUUGACUAAUAGAAAAAGUCAAUGCAUGCACGAAUUAGCCAAAAAAAAUUAGUAGGUGUUUUAAUUUUUCAAUUUUAGGGAUUUGGAUACAAAUUCACAUACCAAAAUUGUUCGGAUCCUAGCCGAUACUAGUUGUCGAUGUUGAUGUACCAAUCAGCCUUUAUCCCUCAUUUCAUCGAAGAAGAACACAUUUUAAUAACAAACUCAUUUGUAUAUAAGAUUGUAACAGACUUCAUUUGGAAUUAAUGAGAAAUUUCUCCAACAAACUUUCCUCUCAAACUUUGUCUUCUCCAAAUUUUCCGCUAAUAUGGUAUCAGAGCCAUCAAAGCUCUAUUUCCCUCAUUUUCUUCUUUGCAUUGUCCUUUCUAAGCUCCAUUUUCGAGACCUAUGGUUUAUCCUGAAGCUUCGAUGGUGUCUUUAAAAGCAAUUCCUCGACGAUCCACUCGUUCGAAAGCUUCGAUGAGUUCAGCUCGAAAGUCGACUCGAUCCUCUUCUGAUGUUGCCGAUCUAGCUCCGAAUAGUCAUCCAGUGGUUAAUCCUCAAGACUCUGGAUCUUUGCGAGUUCCUGCAAUACCAGAUUCUCAGGAUCCGACUCAAUCUCUAUACUAUAUGCAAAAUGCUGAUCAUCCAGGUUUGCAAAUCAUUUCUAUGAGACUCGAUGGUUCAAACUAUGAUGAUUGGAAUGCUGUGAUGCUUAUUGCUCUAGACGGUAAGGAUAAGAUUGUAUUCAUAGAUGGACCAUUACCUCGCCCUGCUGAAUCUGAAAUCAUUUUUAGGAUCUGGUCUAGAUGUAAUAGUAUGGUCAAAUCGUGGCUCUUAAAUUUUGUAUCACCUCAGAUUUAUCGUAGUAUAUUGCGGUUGAGUGAUGCUACUGAUAUUUUUGGCAAAAUCUACAUAGUCGAUUCCAUAUGACUAACUUGCCAAAGACUUUCAAUCUCACACAAGAAAUCCAAGACCUCCGUCAAGGUUCUAUGAGUCUUUCGGAUUACUACACAACUCUCAAAACAUUGUGGAGUAACCUUGAGAGUACUGAUGAACCUGAUGAACCUUGUGUGUGUGCGAAAGUUGCUCGUUUACAAUUAAAGGCUGAACGAGCUCAGAUAGUGAAGUUCCUUGCUGGUCUUAAUGAGUCAUAUUCAAUCAUCCGAAGAUAAAUCAUCAUGAAGAAAGUUCUGCCUUCCCUUGCUGAAGUUUACAACAUCCUUGAUCAUGAGAAUCAGAAGAAUUUCUCUAAUGUUGUUAGUCCUCCAGCAGCAUUUCAAAUUCUUAAAAUGCUCUCUCUCCCAAUGCUGUUUGCUAUGUUCAGAGUGGACCAAACAAAGAUCGUCCUAUCUGUUCAUUUUGCAACCGAGUUGGACAUAUUGCAGACAGAUGCUAUAAGAAGCAUGGUUUUCCUCCUGGCUUCACUCCUAAAGGCAAAACUCCUUCGGAUAAAACUCAGAAAAUGACUCCUCCUAUUGCUGCUCAAGUGGCUUUAACUCCAGUUUCUGAGAGCAAUCCUCCGAAUCUUCAAGGUCUUAUUGGAAACCUUUCAAAUGAUCAGAUACAGAGUUUCAUCGCUCUUUUCAGCUCCCAACUUCAGAACUAAUCUAUUAACCCUUCUUAUGAAGCGAGUCCUUCUCAGUCUGGUGAUUAUUCGGAUAUCUCCUUUUCCCCCUCUACUUAUUGCUUUGUUGGGAUCCUCGCUGUUUCUCAACACACUCUAAGCACUCAAUCUUGGGUGAUAGACUCUGGUGCUACUCAUCAUGUUUCUCACAAUAAAGAUUUCUUCAUCUCUUUGGAUACUUCUAUUGUGAGUUAUGUGAAUCUCCCCACCAGAUCUAAUCUCAAGAUUAGUGGAGUAGGGAUUAUAUGAAUCAAUGAAGACUUGAUUCUCAACAAUGUCUUAUUCAUCCAUGAAUUUAGACUGAACCUGAUCAGUAUAAGCUCCUUGACUACAGAUCUUAACUCCAGAGUUAUAUUUGACACUUCUUGCUGUGAAAUACAGGAUUUUACCAAGUGGUCGACAAUUGGAAGGGGUAGAAUCAUUGGAAAGUUCUAUGUGUUGGACACUCAGUCUUCAUCAGCUUUGUUGAAUGCAGUGAUAGAUGUGAGUAUUUGGCACAAGAGACUCGGUCAUGCUUCCUUCUCAAGAUUGGAUACCAUCUCUGAUAUUUUAGGAACCACCAAGCAUAAAAAUAAAGGAUCAGCUUUCUGUCAUGUUUGCCAUCUUGCAAAACAGAAGAAGCUUUCUUUCUCCUCUUCAAAUAAUAUGUGUAAUACAACAUUUGAAUUGUUUCACAUUGAUAUAUGGGGACCCUUUUCAGUUGAAACAGUUGAAGGAUAUCGAUAUUUCUUAAUUAUAGAGUAUAAUCACUUCAGGGCUACAUGGAUGUAUCUUCUCAAAUCAAAAAAUGAAGUUCUAUCUGUGUUUCCUGCUUUCAUACAACAAGUCGAGAACCGAUACAACAGUAAAGUCAAAUCUGUCAGAUCUGAUAAUGCUCCUGAGUUGAAAUUCACAUCCUACUAUCAAGAAAAAGGGAUAACUGUAUUUCACUCUUGCCGGGAAAUUUCUGAACAGAAUUCAGUAGUUGAACGAAAACAUCAACCCCUUCUAAACUUAGCUCGUGCACUGAUGUUCCAAGCUCAAAUCCCUCUUGGAUAUUGGGGAGAUUAUGUCUUAACAGCUGCAUUCCUCAUUAACAGAACUUCUUCUGCACUUCUGCAGAACAAAACUCCAUAUGAAGUUCUAACUGGUAAGGCUCCAGACUACUCACAGCUCAGAACCUUCGGAUGCCUUUGCUAUAUGGUUCCACUUCUAAAAAAAAAGGCAUAUGUUUCAACCUCGUUCUCAUGCUUGUGUGUUCUUGGGUUACCCUGCUGGUUAUAAGGGAUAUAAAUUGCUUGACUUGGAGAGCAAUACCGUGUUUAUAUCAAGGAAUGUGACGUUUCAUGAAGACAUAUUUCCUCUGGCUACAGAUUCAAAGUCUAUAUCAUCUUUGGAUCUAUUCACACCACUGGAUUCUUUGCCUUCAGGUAUUCCAAUUCAAACACUAAUACUUCUAACAACUCUCCCAUAUCACCAACUUCUUCUCGUACAAAGAAAAUACUCGCUCAUCUACAAGAUUAUCAUUGCUAUUCAAUGCAUUCUGAUCUUGUAUAUCCUAUAUCAUCUUCCAUAUCUUACGAUAAUGUUUAACCAUCUCAUUUAUCCUAUAUCAAUUCCAUCACCAAAAUUUCAAUCCCUCAUACAUAUACUGAGGCAAAGAAUACUAAAGAGUGGUGUGAUGCAGUGGAUACUGAACUUGGUGCAAUGGAGAGAACAGAUACAUGGGUCGUUGAUACUUUACCACCAGGGAAGAAGGCAGUGGGUUGUAAAUGGGUAUUUACACUCAAAUUUCAUGCUGAUGGAAGUCUUGAACGCCACUGAUGUUGGUGUGGUGUGUCGUGUCGAGAGUUGUCAAGUUUUACCCUAAAUGAAAUCAAUAGCCGCAAGUGCACAGCUGAUCGAUUGUAGUAACUUAGGGAUCGAAUCCACAGGGAAUGAGGAUCUUUUCUGCAAAAGCUUUCGAAAGAAAUAUAAAGUAAGGAAGUCUAGAACCAAACGGUUUUGUGGGGGUUUUGGUGGUGUGUUUAAAAUGUAAAAACGAAUCGUAAAGAGACAAUACGGGAAUUAAAAUGACCUAAUAACUAAACUUAACGAAAACGGGUAAAAACGGGAAAUCGGCUAACCUAAUUGCUUAAAUGAAAAUCGAUUGAAAAGGAAUGAAAAUAUUGAACUAAAGCUUGAAAUAAAACGGUGUGAAUCUAUAAGAAAGAAAGUGCUGGGCUUCAGGGAAGUUUUCUCAGGGGUACGAACGAUUCAAAACAUUGCUAGAGAGUAAAUUUGAUAAGAUCUUAGCUUAAAAUUUUCGAACUGGAGUCACGGACGUAUGAAUACGCCACUGUCGUGAUCAUAGACAACUAUCUCUCUCAACCCUGACCAGUAGGUUUCUACUCUGGCCCUGGAAAAGUAGAGAUGCAUUAUGUUUAAGACUCGUCAGCAUUCACAAAUCGCCCAUAGGUAGGUUUCCACUCCUAUGUUUGUUUUGCUCUCCCAAACUAGAUCUGACACCGGAUGAACACUUUCGUGUCACCAAGCAUCUGGAUCAGAUUGUAGUUCAUGACGCUACUCUCAUGCAGUAAAAACGAAUUCAGAAGAAAAAGUUCUAAGAUUCGGCUUAAAAGCUUAUGGAAUCCUCAUCGAACAUAUAGAUCCCCAUCAAAAAUCCCUUAAUCCCAACAAUAAAACUACUCAGACAUGAUGAACGAAAUCAAAAACAUAGGAUUAAAAAGUAGAAUAGAAACCGAAAUUGAAAAAGAAAGAACAAGGGUUCAAGAGACAAAUCUUUCUCUCCCUAAAACCUAAAAACAAAGCGUAAAGUAAAAUUUCUGUAAAGUAUUUCGUCUCUCCUCUUCUUUUCUAAAAAAAUGACCUAAAUGACAUGUAUUUAUAGUCUCCAAUACUCUCUGGUGUCUAGGGUUCCAGAAUUGAGGCUGGGAAAGUGAUACGGGCUUCAGAAAUAGGCCUUCAAAGUCGGAGUUGGCUGACCGCGGUCGGGAUGAGUGUGACUGCGGGGAAUGGGUGGCUGGCCGCGGUCGCGGUGCUUCUGACCGCGGGAAAUGCUCUGCUGGCCGCGGGUGGAAACGCUUGCCGGCUGGUUUACAGGACAUCUUGCUCUUCGUAUAUCGUUUGAUUGAACCAUUGGAUUGCCAAGCUGUAAAGUGUGCUGGAAAGCUGAUACUUCCAUCUUUAAGGUCUCCAAAUUUGAGCUGGAUCAGACGGUGAGAAGGCCUUCAAUCAGGGGUGAACUUCUGACGGUUUGACUCUGAGCUGAAAUCUGGUUUUCUAUCCAUUUUGUUAAGCUUUUACCUAAGUUACCUGAAAAGAGUCUUGGAACAACAAAUACUAGAAAAACGUAAUAAAGUACUUAAAAGCAAUUAAAAACAUAGAAAAAAUAUUUCAAAACGAUCCAUAAAAUCGGUCAAAAUACGGUGUUAUCAACUCCCCCAGACUUAAACCUUUGUUUGUCCUCAAACAAAGCAAAAGCCUAAACUGGUUAAGUGAAAAGAAAAAUAGGGAAUGCACAAAUUUCAGAGACAUGAACUCCUAAACUAGGACCAAAGAUAGUGCAUCAAUCCACAACUUAGUCUAGAAAAUUAUCACCAAUGCACAAGAGAUACUAGUCCACUUUUUCCGUCAUGCAAAACUUAAACAAUCUAAAUCUUGAUUCCAGUCAACUAGCUCUCUACAUUCAUUAAGUUCAAUAGUGAGUUCUCAUUAAAGACAUCAUCCAGGGUAGACGGCGUUUGGCAUUAAAGGGCUGUUUAAGUGAUGGAGUUAAAGUGUUUCGGGUUACCUGAAGAUCUGGAGGAUGCAAGAUAAUAUGCAAAACCGGAAGAGAGAUAAGGACCUGUUGAUGACCGCAAUUUUCAGUCACUUCUUCUUGCCAAAUGUUGUUGCAUAAUCUUUCCUCCUUUGUUGUGAACAGCUAUUCCCCCAGACUUAGAUUCUUUAGGGGAAUCAGAAAAUGAUCUCCAAAACUCCAUAAAAUUAGACUCCAGUUGCCUUGGAACUUAAAAUUCGACCUCUCUAGACUCUCUAAGGCUUUUAUUUCCUUCUUUUCUUAUUUUCGGAUUUUUUUUUUCGAACAAGAAAUGUCUUUUAAAGAGAAAGAGACUAGAGGACGAGAUUGAACCAAAAUUUGAGAUUUUUCUAAGGCAAACUGAGCUUCCUCUUGUGUUGAAUCCUUCCGGGGACGUUUCCGACAAAUCGCAGGUCUCUGUCCUUGGUGACUGAAAACUGCGUCGUUCCUCUUUCUCUCCAACAUUUUUACACUUAUCUGCAUAUAAGACAAUAGAAAACAUGACUGCAUGUGGUUUGAAAGAGGAUUGGUUAAGGUGGGGAACUAGCUAAAGAUGAACUAGCCAUCCAUUAUCAACUGAGAGUGGUAAAAGGAUAAAGGAGUCCUGAAUGUAUGAUUCGUUUCCCUGGUCUAAUGCUUCAAUGAGAAAGUUAAGUCCAAAUUAAGUCGAAAUAAAACAGAGCUAGCGUAUCCCUUCAUCUAAAUCGAAAUCAUUCAAAUUCCUUUGGGGUACUUCGUUUCAAAUGUGCUUAGCUACCGCCUAGUCUAGUCCUAAAUCAUGAAUGAGCAUGUCACUAGGAAAAGUCUAAAAGCACACAGUCAACUAUCAUUGAUUCAUGUUCACCAUUCCCUUUAAAACGUAUUUUGUUUUGAAAACCGAUUUUGAAAAACUUUAAGGAAAAUGCAAAAAGUGUAGAUAAUGCAAGACUCAUGAAAGAAAAGUGAUUAGAAAGGGAUGAAAUCCUCCCCCAGACUUAAAUCACACUGUCCUCAGUGUGAAACAAGUCGAGAUUGGAUGAGAAAAACGCAUAGAUAAUCGAAUUGGUAAGGCCAAAGAGAACUUACCUGGAUCUGGGAUGCUGGUGGAGAUGAACCAGAUUCAUUCGAAGAGGUUUGGGAAGGUGAUAGGUGGUGAUGAAGGUGGUGGAGGGUGAUGAAUGAGGUGGAGUGGGGAUUGGUGAGGUGAAAUGAGGUGACGUGGGUGGUUUGGGGUCGGGUUUGAUCUCAAUGACCAUUUGCUGCGGUCAGGAGCCUCGCGACCGCGGCAAACCGGUCCUCGGCCGCGGUCAGAAGAACGCCGCCGCGGUCGAACAUAUGUUUCCUGCGGUCAGAGCAUCUGCGACCGUGGGGGCUUAUGUCGCGGCCUGUUCCUGCUUUUCCUUGGUUCCUGUCGGGCCGAGCAGUCAGGGACCAUCCUUCUUUUUGGUUUUUUCUGUUUUUUGAUUUUUUUUGGCUUUUUUGUUUUAUAAGAAACACCUGAAACUAAGAAGAAAAAAAAGAUCAAUAGAAAAAAAAAAAAUUCUAAAGAAAACAAUACCUAAAUGGGUUGCCUCCCAUUAAGCGCCUCUGUUUUAAGUCGUUUAGCUCAACUUUUGGUGUUGGACGUGGCUUAGUCCAAUGAAGAAGACCUUGUCCUGAGACAAGUCUUUUUCGACAUCUCCUUGCUUUGCCUAGCAGGUUCUUCGUCACUCCAAAGUUCUUCUUCAAACUCUUCUGUUGCAGCACGUUUUCCUGCUUUGCUGUUGUAUGGGACAACUUCUGUGAAGACAUCUUUGUCGAUAUUAGCAAAUGAAAUCCUCCUGUUUGGCAAGUCCAUUAUAGCUCCGGAAGUUGCUAAAAAAGACCAUCCGAGAAUCACUGGAUAUGUUGCAUCUCUCGUCUCGACAAUGUAGAAGUCGACAUGCACUAUGCAAUCUCCUAUUCUCAAAGGAAUUUCAUGAGCUAUUCCUUGAGGUGUUGCAUUGGAAUCAUCAGCUAGACUAAUCUUUGCUCUAGUCCUGCGCAGGUGUUUAAUACCAAGUCUCAAAGCAAUUACCUUGGACAUCAUGUUAAAACAAGCUCCAGAAUCACAAAGCACGUUUUUAAACAUUUCUCCUCUAAUAGAACAAGAGAUAAGAAACUGACCUGUAGUCUUGACCUUAUGGAGAAUUCGAACUUGCCUUUCUCUGUAGGUGUUGGCUGGUGUUUCAAAUGCAGAAUAGGAUUCACAAAAGAAAACUGCAGCGUCGUAUUCAAUGAUUGAAUCGAUGUAUGACAUCUUUAUCUCGCUACAUAUCUGGUCUUCUUGGAUUGAAGAGUCAGCUGAAUCUUCAACACAUUCCUUUGCCAUCAUACAAGGUAAUGAUUCCUGCCAAUCUGUUUCCUCAUCUGAAACUUGGUUUUCUUCUCCCUGAGUUGCUUUUUUAGGUGCUGGAGGUUGAAGUUGGGACAGAAGAUGUAUUAUUUUUCUCUCAAAUCCCGGAGGUGCAUCUGAGCGACCAACUCCCGCGGUCAGAGGCGUCGCGACCGCGGGAAAAGCACCCUUGGCCGCGGUCAGGAUGCUCGGACCCGCGGCUCCGGAUAUAACUUGCUCAUAGUCCGUUUCUUCCUUCUUGUACUUGACACAAACUUCUCCAGCUUCUUUAUUGGGUAGACCAGCAUCAUAUGAACUCAAACCAGGCGUUGUUGGUCAUCUUCAUCAGGAUUUUUGGGAGAUUUCUUAGAAAAUCUCUCAACUUGCUCAAUGUUGGGAAUCUGCUCCAUUCUUGCAUCAAUCUCCCGUGCUUUGAGCUCGAGUUUGUUCAGCCUGUGCUCGAUCUCUUGCAACUCUUCAUCUGUCUUCUCUCUAUACCAGGAGGCUGAUUCUCUGACUUCUUUAAUCUCCUGUUUCGAUUCGGCAAUAUCACUUGAGUUCUGUAUGAUGUCAUACCCUUGUCUCGUCUGCUCUGUUGCGACUUGGUGGAUCAUCCCAGCUAGUGUUUGUGCGUCCUUGUGGGUUUGCUCUUCCAGAACUCGAACAUGAUUGGACAUAUCAUCGAAUUUUCUGUUGAACUCUUCAGAGAUUGAAUCAAUUUCUUGAGGAGGGUGUUUUGGGUGAGAAUCUGCUGAUCAAGGAACUGGUUUAUCAUUCCUUCGAGGCGUCCCAAACGUCUGCUGAUCUUCAAGUUGUCCUCUUGCUGACUAGGAUUCUGCAGUGGAGGAUUAUAGGCGUGUGGCUCGAAGUAGGUUGGAGGAGGACCAUAAGGAUCUUCCCGACGUCGAACAGUCUCUCUGCGCCGGUGGUAAGGGUGGUUUGGCUGGCUGUAUCGAUCCAUGUAGCUAAGAUUUCGGGCUUGGUGUUCUUCUCUGCGUCUAGUGGCUUGAGGAGUGUUAUAGAGACCUUCCUCAUAGUGUGUAUUUUGAUUUAUAGGAUCCAUAUCUUCUGAAAUAGAAACAAAAUAACCGAAAAAUGGAAAUACAUGCAGAAAAAGGGGUUCUAGAGUCGAUUUACCAACCUUUCUUGGGGUUUUGCGGAAAAGAAAACGCGUGCCUUCCCCGGCAACGGCGCCAAAAACUUGAUGUCGGUGUGGUGUGUCGUGUCGAGGGUUGUCAAGUUUUACCCUAAAUGAAAUCAAUAGCCGCAAGUGCGCAACUGAUCGAUUGUAGUACUUAGGGAUCGAAUCUUCAGGGAAUGAGGAUCUUUCCUGCAAAAGCCUUCGAAAGAAAUAUAAAGUAAGGAAGUCUAGAACCAAACAGUUUUGUGGGGGUUUUGGUGGUGUGUUUAAAAUGUAAACGAAUUCAUAACGCUACUCUCAUGCAGUAAAAACGAAUUCAGAAGAAAAAGUUCUAAGAUUCGGCUCAAAAGCUCAUGGAAUCCUCAUCGAACAUAUAGAUCCCCAUCGAAAACCCCUUAAUCCCAACAAUAAAACUACUCAGACAUGAUGAACGAAAUAAAAAACGUAGUAUUAAAAACUAGAAUAGAAACUGAAAUUGAAAAAGAAAGAACAAGGGUUCAAGAGACAAAUCUCUCUCUCCCUAAAACCUAAAAACAAAGCUUAAAGUAAAAUUUCUGUAAAGUAUUUCGUCUCUCCUCUUCUUUUCUUAAAAAACGACCUAAAUGACAUGUAUUUAUAGUCUUCAAUACUCUCUGGUGUCUAGGGUUCCGGAAUUGAGGCUGGGAAAGUGAUACAGGCUUCAGAAAUGGGCCUUCAAAGUCGGAGUUGGCUGGCCGCGGUCGGGAUGAGUGUGACCGCGGGGAAUGGGUGGCUGGCCGCGGUCGCGGUGCUUCUGACCGCGGGAAAUGCUCUGUUGGCCGCGGGUGGAAACGCUUGCCGGCUGGUUUACGGGACAUCUUGCUCUUUGCGUAUCUUUUGAUUGAACCGUUGGAUUGCCAAGCUGUAAAGUGUGCUGGAAAGCUGAUACUUCCAUCUUUAAGGUUUCCAAAUUUGAGCUGGAUCAGACGGUGAGAAGGCCUUCAAUCAGGGGUGAACUUCUGACGGUUUGACUCUGAGCUGAAAUCUGGUUUUUUAUCCAUUUUGUUAAGCUUUUCCCUAAGUUACCUGAAAAGAGUCUUGGAACUACAAAUACUAGAAGAACGUAAUAAAAGUACUUAAAAGCAAUUAAAAACAUAGAAAAAUUAUUUCAAAACGAUCCAUAAAAGUGGUCAAAAUAUGGUGUUAUCAGCCACAAGGCUCGGUUGGUUGCUAAGGGAUAUACCCAGAAAGAAGGACUGGAUUAUACUGAAACUUUUUCACCGGUUGCGAAGCUUGCUACAGUCCGUUUGCUGAUCUGCUUCAAAGAAAUGGUUUCUGAAACAACUUGAUAUCUCCAAUGCUUUCCUGAAUGGUGACUUAGAUGAAGAAAUUUUUUUGAAGUUACCUGAGGGAUACGCUGAGAGGAAGGGGGGCUCUUUGCCUAAGAAUGAAGUUCUGAGACUUAAGAAAUCUUGAAACAGGCAUCUCGGCAAUGGUUUUUGAAGUUCUCUACCUCUCUGCUUCAAUUGGGUUUCACUAAAGGUUAUAGAGAUUGUUGGGAUUUAUGAGACAAAGCUCAACAAAUGGUGGAAGCAUUCACUUGGUGAAUGAAACCACUUAACCCACACAAAAUAAACUCGAUCUCAAGAGAGAGAAGAGACCAUCAACUUGUGAUGGAAUCCACACAAUAAACAUAAGUAGAACCGAAUCUAUGAGGAAGAAAACGAUUCUAUAAAGGGAAAGCAUCUAGUUUGAGACUAAUCUAAGCAAUGAACACAACACAUAGAGAGUUUGUGUUCUUGAGAUGCAAGACUCAGUAAUCUAGAUGAGAGAAGCAAAUAAAGAAGAGUUAAGUGAGUGUUUAUGAAGUGAUAAGGCUGCCUUAAGGGCAAUCACUACAAACGAUUUUCUCUAAGGACUCUACAUUGCGAAAUAGAAUGAAGAACAAGAUAAAAGAGAGAAAUCACUUCAUUGAUUCUGUGUAACAUUUACAAGCUCGGUUACAUCUCUUUUUAUAGAGAGAAAGGAAGAGAGGAAGCCCUAACACAUGAGCCAAGACUGAGAGUGACAUAAAGAGAGCGUUUUUGUCUUGUUAAGAGCUGAAAGUGACAGCUCAUAAACGGUCACAUGUGACUUUAGUCACAUGUGAGAGCAGACUUGAAUUUGAAUUCGUUUCCCUCCUCUUCUUGUCACUUAUGGGCCUUAUUCCUUGCAUUCUUUAGGCUUUCUUGGCGUCCUCUUCUUCUUCUUAUCUAAUGGGCCUCGGCCUUACACAACCUUAGACUUGUACGGACACCUCUUGGAGUUGACUUGGCCGUACAGUUCUUCUUCUUCUUUAGGCCGAGGCUAGACUUGAUCAAUAGCUUCUUCAGCCUUGUCUUGUCUUCUUUUUAUCUUCUUUGAGAGAUCUUGGAGUUGUCUUCGGCCUUGUCUUGAUGUCAUUGGCCUUGACACUCCUCUUCUUCCUCUUCUUUGACUUGGAGAUGAUCGGCCUUGUCUUGUUGACUUCGGCCUCACCUCUCCUUUCCUUCUUUCACUCUAAUAGAGAUCACACGUUUUUUGUUAAGGUUCAAGGAUCUGAUUAUGUUGCUGUUUUGGUGUAUGUGGACGACAUCAUUAUCGCCAGUACAACAGAACUUCUUGCAACUCAAUUAAUCUGUUCUAUUAAAAUAGAAGCACAUUUAGUGCUUGCAUCCAAACACUCAUAAAGUUUUUAUAAUAUUUUAUUUUAUUUUUAUAUUUAAUUUUCGAUAAUUAGUUAUUAAUUUAGAUAUUUUUAGAUUUCCUAAAAUCUAGAUCAUCUUUAAUUUAAAUUUCAAAUUAUUAGAAAUUUAAUUAAAUUUAAUUACAAAAAUUUGCAUUCAAUUUAAUUUAAAUUCAAAAAAUUCAAAAAAAAAUAUUAUUAAAUUUUAUUACGAAAAUUUAGAUAAUAAUUUAAUACUUUGAAAAUUUUUAAAUACAGGAGAGAUUUAAUUUAAAAUUUUAAAUUUAAAUAAUAUUUUUAUAAAAAUGCAUAGUAAAUAAAUAUUUUAUCGUAUUUUAUCAUAAUCAAUUGGUCUAAAAUAUCAAAUAUUUGAGAUUAAUAAAUAUUUAUAUUAUACAAUAAUAUGAUCGAGCUGAUUAGAGUUAUAUAUAUAUAUAUAUAUUUAAGGUCCAUGAGUUAAUUUAUUAAAACAUGUAAGAUAUUAAGAUGAUUUGAGACAAAUAAUAAAUAAAUAUCUUAUUAUAUUUUUUCAUAAUCAAUUGGUCCAAAUAUUCUAUAUUAGUAAAUAUUUAUAGGGUUAUACAAUUAUAAUUAUAGUCUUAUACGGGUUAGUUUGUCAAAACAUGUAAGAUAUUAAAAAUGAUUUAAGACAACUAAACGGAUGGAUUAGCAAGUUCAUAGAUAUAUAGAUUUUUUAUGUGUAAAUCUAAAUUCACAUAAUAACAAAGUUUAUAAUUAACAUUAGAUCAAUAUAUACUUAAUUAACGCAUACUCUUAUUCUACUAAUAUAUAAAUUUUACUGUUUAAAAUUAAAAUAUGAUAACAAUUUUUUGAUUUAAAAAAAUAAAUAACAAAAACAAAUUAUAUCUAAACAAAAAAGAUAAAUGCAACUUAUAUUAGAAAUCAAAAAUAAAACAUUCUCGUGCGGACGCACAGGGUUAAAAUCUAGUUGAUGCUUUGAAACAGAGUUUUAAACUUCGUGAUCUUGGACCUCUGAAAUAUUUCUUAGGUUUGAAAAUUGCUAGAACCUUUGCAGGCAUUUCUAUAUGUCAGAGGAAGUAUGCACUGGAUUACUCACAUCCACGAGCAUGCUUGGUUGCAAACCUUCUUUAAUUCCGAUGAUACCUAACCUCAAGAUGUCCAAGACUGAUGGUGAAUUACUUCCUAACCGAGAACAGUAUUGAAGUUUGAUUGGCAGACUGAUGUAUUUGACUAUCACCAGGCCAGACAUCACUUUUGCUGUCAACAAACUUUGUCAAUACUCUUCUGCUCCCCGAACAGCUCAUCUCCAAGCAGCUUAUAAAGUACUUUAAUACAUCAAAGGUAGUCUUGGCCAAGGUCUUUUUUACUCUGCCAAUGAUGAUGAUUUAGCUUUAAAGGGAUUUGCAGAUGCUGAUUGGGCGUCAUGUCCGGACAGUCGAAGAUCGACUACAGGAUUUUCUAUGUUUCUUGGAUCCUCUCUCAUUUCUUGGAGAUUGAAGAAACAACAUACGAUCUCUCGUUCUUCUACAGAGGCAGAGUACAGAGCUCUCGCUUUAGCUUCUUGCGAAAUGGUUUGGCUAGUCAUUUUACUCAAUGAUCUGCGCAUCAAUACCAGAAUCGUUCCCAUCUUAUUCUCUGACAGUACUGCUGUUAUCCACAUUGCGAUUAACCUUGUGUUCCACAAGAGAACUAAACACAUUGAGGUGGAUUAUCACACUGUUAGAGAAAAGUUGGACAAAGGCCUGCUUAAAACGCUCCAUGUUUCUACUGAAGAUCAGGUUGCAGAUAUUCUCACUAAACCUUUGUUCCCUGCUCAGUUUGAACACUUAAAAUCCAAGAUGAGUCUCUGCAAUAUCUUCGUCUCAUCUUGAGGGGGCCUAUUAGACUAAGUAUAGCUAAACCGAUUUCCUUUCGAUGAUUUAACUCUAAAUUAAUUAGUUCUUUAGUUUAGUUCGGUUUAAUAACAAACUCAAUUGUAUAUAAGAUUGUAACAGACUUCAUUUGGAAUUAAUUGAGAAAUUUCUCCAACAAACUUUCUCUCAAACUUGUUUUCUCCAAAUCUUCUGCUAACAACCUUCAAUAUCCUACAAGUAAACCACCACAUAACAUUUAUAACUAAUACAUAAUAAAAAAACAUUUGAAUUAUUUUCUCAUGAAUAAAAAUUGUGUUAGGCCGCAAGUUCAAGCUAACGUCAAACUUUGUGUUUGGUAAAAUCCAAUAUGGAACCAUUGGCGUUCAAGUGCUUGCAUUAGCAUCAUACAAAAAAAAAAACAAAGCAACGAUUAUCUAGAAGUCUAUUCAAUAUAGAACGUCAAAUUAAUUGUUUACUCUUAAUGUUCAUUAGAAACUGAUAUUAUAUAGCUUUCCACACAUAAAAUUAACUUCCAAACACCUAAACACCCCUAUUUUUCAUUACUUCUUUUUUUAGAAAAGUCAGCCACCAGUACAACCAAUUGAUUGGGGCAAUAAUAAGAAAUAUCAAUUUUAUAUAUUUUUUCAUUCAUUGUACCAAAAACAUCCAUCAAUAUGCAAUAGACAUAACAAGAAAAGCCAACAUUAUUGAAAUCACAAACAGUUCAUAACAAUACAAACAUAUAUAUAUAUAUAUAUAUGAUACAGAAAUCCUCCCAUAACUAAUAUAGAGUAUGCAUGAAACAACUGUCCGGGAACGGAAAUUGCUACUUUACGGAGGCGCCGGAAGUUAGUCAACGGCGUCUAGCAGCGGUCUCACGUUGGCAGUUGAAGAAAACAGCUGCGACGGGGAGGCCGAGAUCGUUCUCAUGAGCAAACAUUCGAGUGUUGAAUUGGUCUCUGUAAGAUGGCACAGCAACCACACUUCCUCUCCGGUUUUGCUUGAAAAGCAAAUACACAAAUCGGUGGAUCCCUAUGUUUGGUCGAGGCAUCUCGUACCCUACUAUUUCCUUUCCUGUUUAGUAUUUUCAUAUCCGAAAUUUCGUCAGAAACAGCUUUGUUUUCUUGUAGUGGUAUGUAUAUGAAACAAAUUUGUUUUUGUCGUCUAUAACAUACACGCACACAUUUCUUGAGGUAUAAACCGUGUUUUAUCAUGAUAAUAACACUAUUACAACCCAGUAUAUUAUAAAUCCAUUACAUAUAUUAUGUUAUUUGUAUUUAAAUAGUAAUUGACAUGUAUAUGAAACUUUUUUUCCCCUUUCUUGUUUAUAACUUUCACAUGCAGAAACACGAAAGUAACAAUAAUUUAAACAAUUAGGCUACAAUAUUCCGGAUUCUAUGAAACUAAUGAAGGGUGCAUAAAUAUAUGAUAUGUUAUUUGUUUGACAUUUAUAUGGAAAAUAGUGUAUAUUGACUUACCAAAUGUCACGUCGGUUGUCCCCGGGAUAUCGGUAACAAUCCUGAGAUUGAUCAUUGGAAACAAUUGUUGUAUAUAUUUACGCAUAAAAUUAUGUCUCUUAAGAAAAAUUGAGAGGAAAAAAUUUUACCAGUGCAAGUGCUCCCUCAGAUAAGGAUCACUAGGUCCAGGAACAUCAGGAUCAGUCAUGACCUGUUUGAAAUAUUUUAUAUUCAUGAAUAUAUAUAUCUACACGUGACACAUCCUAUAUCUACAUAAAUAAGCACAACACAUAGUCACAUAUGUAUCUGCAAAAAAACUAAUUCGCUCUGAAAAUUAAAAGUCUAUUAUAUAUAUAUAUAUAUAUAUAUAUAUAUAUAUAUAUAUAGGGUACUGGAAACAACUGCAUACGAAGAUAAUAUAACUAACUAAAUCUCAUGUAUUCUGCAAAAAAAGGAUUCAAACAAGUCCCUUUACAAAACCUAGGGUGGAGAAAAUGUCUUAUUUAUGAAAUAAAGAGAAGCACAUGAAUAAGUGUACACCAAAAACAAAGCUUAGAUGUCCCAUGAUCGAAAUCGAAUGACACUUGGGAUCGGACCAUAUACAAAUAUGUUUUGAUUCCGGAUCUAGGGAAACUAUAUAGUAAAAAUAUAGCGCAUGGAGAAAUGCCUAUUAAGAAAGCAAAUUAGGUAAGCCAAUUUCCGCCAUACCAUAAACGUAAGGUUUGGUAAUUGAAUCAUAUAGUAAAUUGGAUUUCUAUAAAUACCAGUAGAAAAUUGCUUACCAAAGUGAAGAAUGAUCUCAUGUCACCCCCAUGAACAUCAACCUUAGGUUUGUUUGUGACUGUGGAAGGGAAAAUUUCAUGGCCAUUGUAGACUUGCUUGUCGGAGUUAUAAGUCACUGUCAUUUUCACCGCCUGCAAACAGUUGUCCACAACGUCUCCGAUCACUCUACCAACUAUAAGCGGGUCUGACGAAAUCCGGGCCAUCUCGAUUGCUUCUUUUAGAGUUUAGAAGAAGAAAAACAAAGAAUGAGUUUGAAAGAUCAAACGUUUCAAAAUAAGGAAAUAAUGUUUGAUGAAAUUUUGUGUAUGUGUUGGUGUGGGGAUAGACAAGCUUGGGCUUGCUUUGGGGGAUCGGAUUUGUUAAUGUUGAUUCAAUGAAGACAUAAAGUCAGAACAACAUGUAUUUAUAGGAUUUUAGAGAAUAAAUGGCCAUACUGAAUUUGAUUUGACGUUUAGAUCCAAAGAACUUCGAGAUGUAUGAGUUGGCCUUUUCCAACAACAAGAACAUUUUUUAAAAAUUCUACAUAGUGUCAUCCACUAAUAUCUGAGUAACUUUGCAGACGUUUUCAGGUUAUGAAACUGUUUUGUAUUGGACACAAGAAAUUAUACGUCUAGGUUUACUUAUAAAAUGUAUAUCCAAACAUGAAUUAUAAAACAUUAGUUGUUUUUGAGGAGACAAGUAUUUACAUGAGAAAUGAUACUCUUUAAUACAACCUAAUGGAUUUAAUAUUAAACCAGAUUAAAUAAACAUAAUGGAUUGCGUGAUUAGAAAUAUUCUCACUAAUUUUGUAACUCAAAUUUUAACAAAUUCGUCUUGUAGUUAUCAUUCUGGGUGAAAAAAAUUAGUAGCCAAGUAAUUAUGUUUUUAACUUUUAAUUGUUAUAAUUAUUUUUAAUAUGAGAGAAUAUCUAGACUCGGGAAAAGAAGAGAAAUGUGUGAUACAGCCAUGUUCAUCUCUAGCCAUUAUUUAAACAGAAGUCGAAUGUAUCAAGUAGUGGGAUUGGGAAUUUAGCUUUUUCUUUUUAUUUUUUUAACUGAAUUUUUAAAAACUUAAUAGAAAAUUAACUCAUAAUAUACAUUUAUUUAAGAAAAAAUUCGCCAUACGUCGUCGGAAUAUCUUCUAAGAAAAACACCGGUCACUUGUCUAACUCCAAAAAAAAAAUAUAAACUAUUAUACAAAGCAUUUAAAAAAUAACGUGUUAAUCGACUAUAGAAAUAUUGUUGAGAAUUUAGGUCGAAAUGAAUUAGAAUAAAGUUGAAUAAAAAACGAAAAAUACUUGUUUUAGAAUUUAUAUAAUAUUAUGUGAUAGAUGAUUAUAAAUUCUUAGACUUUGUAUUUAUAAGUUCCAAAAACCUGAUUUCUAAUUUUGAAUAGUAAUUAAAAAAAAAUCCCAAUAGAAAACUAUACCGUUGUGACGUUGUCCCCUAAACCCGAUUCCUAAUCCUUCGGUCUGUUACAUUUUUCUGCUAGCUCAAGCUGAUACUGAGAUACUCAUAACAUAAUACUCCUACAUUAUAUUUAUCAUUUAGAAACAACAGAUGUAGAUCGACGUCUACAAGCAGUGUACAUGUCACAUUUAAUUGUAUUUAUUGAAAGUACAUUUGUUUUUCUUAUGAAGGUAGAUACAUUUAACAACUAAUCUCGAAACAUUAAGAUUUCGCUUGGUCCAGUUAUCAUAUUUAGCAAAAGAAGAACAGAUUUUGCUCCCACGUACGGGUUUUAUCUAGCUAUAUUAACUAGUUUACACGUUAAAAAUAUUUUUUUUUCAGCUUUAUAUAAGUUCCUUAAGUCCGUCCUUAGCACUAAAAAAAAAGAAUUUGUGCGUUAUAUUUUAAAAACAUUCGAACCUAUGAGUGGCUCAGAAGUGGCAGAUUUACCAAUAUGGUCCUAAGAAUUCUUCAAUUAUACAUGCAUGAGAUUUCUCCAAUUUAUUAAAUAUAUUAACCAUCAGAGAAAUGUUAAUAAAAACUAUAAUAAAAAAGGAACCUUUUUUUUAUUCCAAGUGUCAGUGUCCACCAUGAAUCACAGCUUUCGUUGUUCAGUAUUUUUUAUAUGAAAAAAUAAAGAAAGAUAGAAACUUCAAGUGUCAUUAUUCCGUUUAUAAAUCUAAAUGUAACUUUUGCAAUAAGGGUAACAAGAAAACUUAACAUUUCUAGAAAAGUAAUAAAAUUUCAAAUAUAUGAGGAAAAGGAAAUAUAUUCUCUGUUAGGUGUGUGGAUGUAUUGCAAAGAAUAUAUCCCAAAACAACUAAUAUUAUUCUUUGGACUUACCAUAUUUGGAAAUGUUAAUGUUGGUGACCCAUAAACCACAAAAUGCGUUUCCCACACAUACAAAGGCUGACAAAUUGCGAAAGGUCACUUCAGUUUCAGAAAAAAAUAUUCAUUUCUUUUGUCACUCUGUUUUCCCCUUAUAUAUAUAUACCUUUACAUUAAAAAAUUAUGAAGUAGACAAACAAGAUUUGGGUUUCCUCUUAUGGAGUUUCUUUCCUUUUCCAUCUAACUGUCUUCAGAUGACACGUUACAAGUGUACUUUGCAUGUGAUCAUGAUAAUAUUUUUUAAUUUAAAAUUAUCUUAACUAAGGUUUUUAUUUCUUCAUCUAUACUUGAGCUUGAGCAUAUGCACCCACAACGAUUUGUGACACAACAUGUCAUAUCUUGUCUUAUAUUCGCAAGCCUUGUGAGAUAUCUUUUUUUCUCAGGUAGAUAAAACCGACACUUCACUUUUUCCCCUUAAAGUUAAAAUGGAUCUCGAGCCAAUAGAAAGCUCGUUGAUAACAUCACAUAUAGAGCCGUAUUCUGUGACUUCAAUCAACUAUAAUUUAUUGGAAACUUUGUACUACAAUAUAGCAUACUAAAACUAUAACAUAUGUGUACUUAUGUGGAUACUGUUUCAACUUUUAUUACUUGAUUUUUCUACGAUAUAUAUAUAUACCAUACUGAUAAUUCAUCAUGGAUGAUGUAAACAGUUUUGUAGUGGGCGACUGAGAAGAGAGAGGAUUCUCAAAGGAGAGCAAGGUCAAAUAGCAGACCAUGGACCGAAAUCUGAUAUCAUAUGGUUCAUGUUUAAUCUGAAAUAGUGAACCACGAUGGUUCAUGUUUAGUCUUAGGUUAGCUUAGGUUAGAUGUAUGCCAACCAUGGAACGAAAUCUGAUAUCAUAUGGUCAUUAGAUUGCACUCUACCGAACCUAAUAACUCAGUACCAAAAGAGUUAUCGUCACGUAAUAACAUAACAAUUGGAAAAUCAAUUAUUGUUGGAGACAAAAGUUUAAUCGUUAUUUAAAUUAAGUCACAAGGAAGUUUUGUUUUGAAACAGAACCUCUAUAAUAAGUUAUCAAUCUUCAACUCCAUGUGUGGCCAACCCAAUCAAUAUUCUGAUUAGUUGCUAAGAUCCAAUACUGAGCUGUUUGCAAACAAAGAACCCUGAAGUAAGCAGACCAAAGACCGAGAAGGCUCCUUGCCUUGAACGCCAAAACUCAGUCCAUGUCAACGGUCUUUUGAUUUCAGACAAAACCAAAUUGAACUGUUGGUUGAGUUCGUCGAGACCGCCAUUAUUAUCGAUCACAACAUCAGCUCUGCUUCUUUUCGAAUCCAACGACAUCUGAGCCAUCACUCUGUUUCUUGCAUCUUCCUCACUAAGUCCAUCUCUCUCCAUCAGUCUCUCGAGUUGUGUUUCUUCACUGACCCACACAACUACAAUGGGUUUUGUCAAUUUAUCCAUCUUUGCUUCGAACAACAACGGGAUAUCAACAACUAUCACUUGAGCUCCCUUUGCCCAUUGUUUCAAAAUUUCCCAAAAGAUACCACUUGAUACGUACGGAGCCAUAAGCCUAAAACAGCAAUCAAUUUUCAUGAUCUCAUCCAAUAAACAAAAAAAUAAGGGGAGUUCUCAGUUUCUUACUUGUUUAGAAGUUGGCGUUUGGAAUCGGAUGAGAACACCAUCUGACCAAGUUUUGGCCGGUCUACUUCUCUACUAGGAAGCAGAAUCUCCUCCCCAAAGGCUGCAACUACUCUUUUCCACCCACCACUUCCUUUCUUUAAUACAUUCUAUAUAGCAAACACACACACAAUUCCGCAGCUUUUGUUAACUUCUCUUUAGCUAGAUUGCAUCUAGGAUAUGGCCAAUUUACUAUGAUGAGCUAACUAAUAAAGAAAGAUAAAAAAUUGCAAAAAGGCAGAGACUUUACUCGAGCAACGACAUCAGCGUCAACAACGGGAAUGCCACUAGCCUUGAAGAGGUUGGAGACUGUACUCUUCCCAGACGAUAUGCCUCCUGUUAACCCGACUAUUCUCAUUCUCUUUUUUCCUCUCUUUUACUCCUCAGGAACACUUAACUUGUUUUCUCACUGUGAGAAACACCCAAGACUAAAAAUGAGAUCUUUUAGAAAUCAAUGCUUACAACAAACAAUUGGCAUCUGGGUUUUUCUGAACAAUCAGCAAAGACAACUACAGCAUCAAAACAAAUUUGUAUCAAACUAGAAACAUUUACGCACAACACAUCACAGACAGGAAAGACAAGGACAAAGAUCACAUAAAGAUAGUCACUUAUAACAACAGGACAAUAUCUGAUUCCGAAACAUGACCUUAAUUAGCACUUAAGCAGCAUCAUCACUUGAAACAUGAAAAUGGAACUACCCAAGAUCCUAGAUAAAAUAAAACAGUUUGACACUCUUGGUUCUAAAGAAUCAAAUACAUUAACAAUACAAAACCAGUAAAUUAUGUGUUUAGAGGGAAAGAUACUCACAUCAGUACCACUGAUGGAUGUCACUGUUUCUCUUAAGAAGUGUUAGCAACUAUCUACACAAAAGGAGCAAAACUAUGAUUCUGAACAGUAUAAACAUAGGAAACGAUAAUCAAACAAGCUAUAAAGCUAUAAAACAUAAGAAGAGGAGACAAGAUUAAUUACAUGCUACUAUAAACAGGUGUCAGACUUAGAACUUAAGUUGCAAAACACAAAUACAUAUGCUUCAAAUAAAGAACAACCGAUAGUUCAAACAACAACAACACACAUACGAUUAAAAGCGUACAAAUACGAGCAGUUCUAAGCAUAAACUGUGAGAUGAGAAAAACAGAGACGCUGAGAUGAGAUGAGAGAAAAUGAACAAGAAUCAAAAGGCAUAAGUUAGAGUUUCAGCGAUACUGUAAUCUAAAUAAGCAAAGCACAUAAUAACCUUUCCAAUAAAAGCAAAGCACAUGAGUUAUAUUUCUGAAUGACUUCUUCAAACCCCGCUAUAUUCACAAAUAAUAAACGACCAAUACCAACUAUAUAUUAGAACCAUUGAUUCAACAACAACCUCAUACUUGUUCAUACUUAAAACCGAAACAACAAUUGAUGCAUAAACAAGUAAACCCAGAAGACUAAAAUCCAGUAAGAAAUUGAAAUUGAGCCUCAAUCGAUGUCUAUAAAAGCUAAGAGCUAAAAGAAAAUUGAAUAAAAGAAAGAGGAGAAGCUUGCCUGUGUGAGAAACUGCCGGAGCGGCUCGCCGGGGGAGAGGAUCAGAUCGCCGGAGUGACUCUCCGGAUAGAGAAGCAGGUCACCGGAGUGGAGUGAGAGAUGAAUGUCGGAUAAGAGAGUGAGAGUUGAAUAUCGGAGAAGAGAAUUGUCGAGAUAAUCUAGGUUUUUUUGGGCAAUUCUCUAAAAUGACACAAAAAAACUGGUUGACAAACAUAACAUUCUCAUUUAUACCAAACACUUAUUCUUGCGUACCAAACAACUUAACCAUACUAUUAAAAAAAAUUUGUCGGCUUCAUCGAUAAACAAAAAAAAAACCAAUAUUUCAUUUUUUUUUACUGAAUCAGUUUCAUAUGAGAUUAGCCAGAUGAUCCCGAAAAUAUGUCCAUAAUUUUUAAAACUCACUUGAUUCAUCUGAAUGUUGAUCAUUUUAUUUACUAGACAAACAUCGAUUUUCACCUUCAUCCAGAUGCGUGAAACAAACAGACCCUCACUAUAUCUGAAGUUUCCUAGUAAAACCGCAACUAUCAAUUAUUAUAAAUUUCCAGAAUUUCAAGGAGGAAACAACAAACAAAUCAUUAGCUAAACAAAAAUGAGAUAUGGAUUGCUAACCCAAAAGUCAAAACCCAUUUCACGAAAAUAUAAAACGUAAAAGUAGAAAACGAAAAAAAAUGAAUGUAAUAAUCUCAGUUUUUCUUCCUUUGUAUCUUGGGAAUGGAUUCGACAUAGAGAAUUGAUAACACAAACUCUACAAACGUGAGAGAGAGAAAAAAAAAGAGAAACGCGUUUUUGAAUCAAAGGGGUGAUAUUUCUCGAAACCCUUAUCGACGUCUUCUGUGAAAUCUGAAGACAUUAAUAUUAGAGUGUAGUUUGUAUAUAACUCAUACUUAGUCAUAUACGUGUGAAUAUUAGGAUCAGUAAGGGCUCUGGAAUUGUCCGGUUCAUAUCUAUUUAACUUCGGUAUAGAUUCGGUUAGUUUAGUGAGUAUAUGUAUAAAGCCAUGUAACAAACUCUUGAUUUCAUUAAUGAGAAUAUCUGAGUUUUACAAACAACUUCUCUCUCGAUGAUGAACACUAAUAUGGUAUCAGAGCUCUUUUCGCUCAAAUCUCUGUGAUUCAUCUUCGUUUUCGCUCAGAUUUUUCAUUUUGUUGUUGUUUUCACCGUUUAAACUUCGAUAAGAAUCGGAAUCUGUGUUGCGAUUGACGUUUGAAGCGCUUGAAUCACCUUUGGGAGUUCAAAUUUCUUCGAUUCUUCGACACAUUGAAGCUCAAAUCGUUUGUGAUGGCGAAACAAGGCAAGAAAACUCAUGGUCGAGCUGAGGUCCAAGACGAAUCAACCGCUGAUGCUUUUCUCCCAAACGAAGACAUCACGAUGACUCCACCUAUGGAUUUCGCAAAUCGACGCACCAGAUCUGGUUCCAAGCAGGAAUCGUAUGACAGUGUUCAUAGUCAUUUCUUCCUACACUCCGCCGAUCAUCCAGGUCUUUCUAUCGUUACUCACACUCUCGAUGGAUCUAAUUACAACAAUUGGUCAAUAGUUAUGCGUAUGAGUCUUGAUGCAAAGAAUAAACUUAGCUUUGUUGAUGGAUCUCUACCGCGACCUAACGUUGAUGAUGAUCUGUUUAAGAUCUGGAGUAGAUGCAAUAGUAUGGUUAAGACGUGGAUACUGAAUGUAGUGAAUCAGGAAAUUUACGAUAGCAUUCUCUAUUAUGAUGAUGCAGCUGAAAUGUGGACUGAUCUUUUCUCGAGAUUCAAAGUCAGUAAUCUUCCCAGGAAGUAUCAAUUGGAACAGGCUAUUACAUCUCUUAAACAAGGAAAUCUAGAUCUAUCUGCAUACUACACGAAGAAGAAGACUCUGUGGGAGCAGUUAGCAAACACUAAAACUACCAUCGUUAAGAGAUGUAAUUGUGACCAUGUCAAGGAACUCCUGGAGGAAGCUGGAACAAGCAAGAUCAUACAGUUUCUUAUGGGACUAAAUGAAAACUUUGCUAAUAUCCGAGGUCAGAUCUUGAACAUGAACCUCGACCUGGAUUGACUGACAUAUACAACAUGCUUGAUCAAGACGAGAGCCAAAGAUUUGUUGGAGGAUCAACUCAACCUUCCUUUUCUAAUCCGGCUGCUUUUCAGACUCAAGCUACUCCAAUCAGUGAUCAGUCUCAGAUCCUUCUAGCUCAAGGGGGCUUUCAAAAGCCAAAAUGCUCUCAUUGUCACAAGAUGGGACACACGGCUGAUAAGUGUUACAAAUUGCAUGGGUACCCUCCGGGUUCUGGUCCAAAGUGGAAGAAGUCUCAGACUGUCGGUGCCACGAACCUUGCAGCCACACCAUACCUGAACCAAACAGAGCAGAAAUGUGAUCGAUCUGAGUCUUCUUAUGAGGACAUGUCAAAGGAUCAGAUCCAAACCAUGAUUUCUUAUCUAAGUUCUAAGCUUCAGAAUUCAUCUGCGAAAUCUAUACCUGAAAAGAUUGUGCUUCGACUUCAAACUCUGUACCUGUUGUCUCCCAGAUAUCAGGUACAUUUCUGGAUCUAUACUCUAAAUCUUAUUAUGACAUGCUUGUUUCAUCUAUCUCUACGGAACCAGCUGUGUCUCUUAGAGCUUGGGUCAUAGAUUCCGGGGCUACUCAUCAUGUUACUCACAAUAGGAGCCUUUACACAGGAUAUAGACCGCUAAAUAGAACCUUUGUUACUCUUCCUAAUGGCUAUACAGUCAAGAUAGAAGGCAUAGGAUUCAUUCAAUUAACUGAUGCUAUCUCUCUGCAUAAUGUGCUUUACAUACCUGAGUUUAAAUUCAAUCUCAUCAGUGUCAGUGUUUUGACUAAGACGUUGCGUAUUAAAGUCAGUUUCACAUCUGAUGAAUGGUUUAUUCAGGAACUUACACAGGCAUUGACGAUUGGUCACGGUAGUCAAGUUGGAAAUUUAUACAUUCUGGAUAUCAAUGAGUCUAGUCAUGUUGUUUCUUUAAAAGGUACUUCGACCAUCUGUUCAUCUCCACCUGUUUGUUCUAGUGUCUUGGCUGAUGUUCAUACUUGGCAUUCGAGAUUGGGUCAUCCAUCUCAAAACAAAAUCGAUUUUGCUUUCUGAUGUUUUACAUUUGAAUGUUUCAAAACGAAUGAAUAAAAAGGAUCAUGUUUGCCAUAUUUGUCAUUUGUCCAAGCAAAAACGUUUACCAUUCCCUUCUGGACAUAACAUUUGUAAAGCAUCAUUUGAACUUGUUCACAUAGACACAUGGGGUCCUUUUUCUGUUGCUACUGUUGAUGGUUUCAAAUAUUUUUUGACAAUAGUUGAUGACUAUAGCAGAGCAACCUGGAUUUACCUAAUGAAAUCUAAAUCGGAUGUAUUGCAUAUCUUUCCUAGUUUCAUUGCAAUGGUGGAAACUCAAUAUGGAACUAAUGUUAGGUCUGUUUGAUCUGAUAAUGCUCAUGAAUUGAAGUUCACUGAUUUGUUUAAUUCAAAAGGCAUAGUUGCAUAUCAUUCAUGUCCGGAAACUCCUGAACAAAACUCUGUAGUUGAGAGAAAGCAUCAGCAUAUAUUGAAUGUAGCAAGAGCCUUAUUAUUCCAAUCUAAUGUUCCCUUAGAGUUUUGGGGGGAUUGUGUCCUAACCGCAGUGUUUUUAAUCAAUAGACUACCGAGCCCUGUACUUGAAAACAAGUCUCCUUAUGAAAAGUUAACUGGCAAAUCUCCUGAUUAUAAGUUUCUUAAGAACUUCGGUUGUUUGUGUUACAGUUCAACAUCCCCAAAAGGUAGACAUAAGGCUAGAGCCUGUGUGUUUCUAAGAUAUCCAGCUGGUUAUAAGGGCUACAAGCUAUUAGAUAUAGAGACAUAUGCUGUUUCCAUUUCGAGGCAUGUCAUUUUCCAUGAGGAUAUUUACCCUUUUGUAUCUUCCAACAUCAAGGAUGAUACAAAAGCAUUCUUUCCUCAUUUACAGUUUCCUGCUUCCCAUGAUGAACAUUUGCCUCUAGCGCAAUCAUCUUCUGAUACACAUACAACUAAUGAUGUGUUAUCUUCUGAGGCUUUUACUCCUUCUGAGUCUAAGUCUCGCAGACAAAAGAAAAUCCCUAAACACUUGCAGGACUUUCAUUGCUAUAACCUUACUAGUACUAUUCUAUAUCCCAUAUCCAAUUAUAUCUCUUACUCAUAUCUAUCUGAGCCUUUUCGAGCCUUUAUUAAUACUAUCACCAACCACAUUGUACCACAAAAGUAUUCAGAAGCCAAGGAUAUACAGGUCUAUUGUGAUGCGAUGAAAGCUGAGAUUGGGGCUAUGAAAAGGACUCAUGCAUGGAGUGUUUGCACUUUACCACCGAACAAAGUUGCUAUAGGUUGUAAAUGGGUCUUUACAAUCAAACAUCAUGCGGAUGGAAGUGUUGAGAGGUAUAAAGUGAGGUUAGUCGCUAAAGGUUAUACGCAACAAGAAGGUCUAGACUAUGAAGAAACCUUCUCCCCUGUUGCUAAACAUACUACUGUUCGGAUGCUAUUCAUUCUUGCCGCAAAGAUGAACUGGUCAGUCAACCAACUCGACAUCUCUAAUGCAUUCCUCAACGGUGACUUAGAUGAGGAGAUAUAUAUGAAGAUUCCUCCAGGAUAUGCCGAUUUACAGGAUGAGCAAUUACCUCCUAAAGCUGUUUGUCGACUUCAUAAAUCAAUAUAUGGUCUCAAACAGGCUUCUAGACAAUGGUUUUUGAAGCUUUCAUCUACUCUUUGUGGCAUGGGAUUUGAAAAGUCUGUUGGUGGUCAUACUCUUUUCAUCAAGAGCAAGAAUGGUGUCUUCCUCGGAGUAUUGGUAUACGUAGAUGAUAUUCUUAUUGUUGGGAAUAAUGAUGAUUUGGUGCAUGCUUUUAAGGAAGAGUUAGCUUCUCAUUUUAAGCUCAGAGAUCUUGGCACGGCAAAGUAUUUUCUGGGUCUGGAAAUUGCAAGAUCGAAACAGGGCAUUUCCAUAUGUCAAAGGAAAUACACUUUGGAGCUGUUGGCAAAGACUGGAUUCUUAGCCUGCAAACCAUCCACCAUUCCGAUGGAUCCUAGCAUCAAAUUGUCCAAAGACAAAGGUAUACCUCUCGAUGACCCUAUUUCCUUUAGGAAACUGAUGGGGAAGCUUAUGUAUCUCCAGAUUACACGACCUGACAUUUCUUAUGUGGUCAAUACAUUGUGUCAAUUCUCUCAUGAUCCACGCGAUCUUCAUCUCACGGCGGCUCACAAAGUUCUCCGUUAUUUGAAAGGCACA